This 83960-nucleotide long non-coding RNA is filed under the name Arabidopsis lyrata. RNAcentral describes it as "long non-coding RNA (ALYR_LNC001555)". The stretch from base 54733 to 54878 matches the Rfam family "small nucleolar RNA snoR137". The record is from RNAcentral. Lineage: Eukaryota; Viridiplantae; Streptophyta; Magnoliopsida; Brassicales; Brassicaceae.
AACUGGAGACAAAAUAAAUUUAAAAACUUAAAUACAAUAAAAUGGAAUGAGAUAAGAUUAGGGUAACGGUGAAAUUGUCAAAGUCUUUGGAAUAAUGGACACGUGUCAUUUGUUUAGUUCUUUGUCAUUCUUUCCAUAUGCCAACAAACUAGGGAUAUCUUAUUUUCUUGUUCGUUUUUUUAAAUCUAUUAUCCAAUAAGAGAUAUUUGAGUUUUUUUUUUUUUUUUGUCGGCCAUUUAGAUUCAUUGAUAUAGCCCAAAUGGGCAAAUUACAGAAAGUCCAGUAUACAGAAGAUUACAGCGAAAAUAAAGCUUAGGUCCUAACUAAAUCUUAAUUAAAGAAAAUAAAAUAUUGAAGCACAAAAGAUUUAGAAAUUGACACGUGUGGGAUAUGUGAUCUUCUCGAAGCUACGCGUCAAGCCGUGGAGUAGCAUCGUCAACGUCGCCGGACAUCGCUGGAUCGCCGAUUAGUCACCGCCGAUCAGCUCUGAAGCGAUGAGAAUCCUCUUGCUUUCUGCCGAUCUCAAUUCCUAGCCAAACGUCAAGAAAUCUCCGGAUCGAAUGAGAAAAAAUAGCUUCAAAUUCAUUCGAGCAUCACUAUCUUCGGGGAAGCUCCAUCACUAGCCACACCCAACUUGAUGUGGUCAGAUCUUUGCUCUUUCUUCUUUGAGCAAAAGGAAUUGAUGAAGAUAUUACUCCUCGAAAAGAUUGGAAGGAUCGGAGAGAAUUUUGAAGAAAAGCGGAGAUAAUAACGGGCUUAGAGAAAAGAUAUCAAAUCUCGCUAGUGCGAGAAGCAAAACCCGGACAGAGCCGGUACUGAGAAUUCCGACAAAAGCCGGAAAUUAUUUAGUUCGUUCAAAAAACGAAAAUAUGUACAAUUCCGGUGAAGUCCGAAAUCAAAACCGAAAGAAGACUUCUCCACUCUGAAAGAUUUAAGAUGGAUAAGAGAAGAGAAGCUUUUUAGAAUUUCCGGUUAAUAAUUCCGGUACACCGGAAAUCGCCUUCUCUCUGAGAGAGAAAGCUCCCAUUCUUUUUAUUUUAUUCUCUCUAUUUGAGUUAAUUAUAUUAGGAUGAUAUUCAACUACUUAUAUAUAAAAUACAACCAAUUACGAUAAACAAUGUAUACAAAUAAUAAUUUUACGCUGCAAUUUUUUUUAUAAUAUUCGGAUUUCCAACGGACAGUUUUACAUAUACGAUAUUUUCAAGAUAGUUUUAAGCUAAAAUAAAAUAUUUUCUAACUAUAGUUAAAUCUUUUAUUGUUAAUAAAAUGAAUAUUUUAAUACUCUUUUAGUUUGUUGAUUUAAAAUAGAAUUUAUUUUGAUGUAUGUUUAUGUAAAAAAUCAUUAUUAAAAAAAAAAAACAGAAAAUAGUAAUCUAGUGGCAAAUCAAUGGUUUUAUUUUAGGUUUAUUAUUUUGACCAAAUUUUCUUUUAAAUAUUGCCAUGACUUUGGGACAUAUUAAUUUGGUAGAUUUGUAUACCUAGAAAGUGGAACAAGUAAUGUUUUGAUUUUAAAACCACGAAGAUUCACAAUAAAAGAAUAUAAAUAGAUGUGUUAUAGCAAUAAAGAUAGAUAUAUCUUGUAGAUAGAUGAGCUUUAUUAAAAAAAAAAAAAUCUUGUAGAUAGAUAUCUUAAAUAAUAAAUAUGAUCCAUUAAACCAACCAAUGAAGGCUAUUUAAAAUGUUGCAUCUAAUCAAAGCACAAAUCAGGUAAGAAAUGUGUUCUUAGUUAAUGGCAACCAAUUACAUAAAAUUAUGUUUAAUAGUGAAAAAAGAAAAGAAAAGGAAUGUGUUAACUAGUUAAGUUUUUUUUUUUGAUAAACCCUAUCGGCUAUCCGGUCGGCCCCGGUAGAAACGCACCAAGGUACUACAUAGUGGACUAGUUAACUAGUUAAGUUCUUAACGUAAAGUUUGAUAUAUAUCGUUUUUUAGUAAGGAUACUUCGUAGAAGAAGAUAAACUUCGAACAUAAUAAAAAGAUGAACUUCCAAGAUUCUUCUCCUCUUUGUGACAUAUUCCAGAAAUAAAAAUAAUAAUUAAUCAAGGAACACAACAGAAACGAUUAAUUUUUUAUAAGAUAUUUAUUGGGUCAAUAGUUUAUAGAAUAAUAGAAGUCGUAUUACAAAGUGUUUAAAUAAUACAAGAAUCAUACAUACGUCACAUGAGAAAAUGUGAAACAAUUGUUUUGUUUUCGAAAAAGUUAGAAAAAUUGUCAUAUUGGGCCUGUAAAGCCCAUAAGGUCUUGAAAAGAGAAGUGGGACAAUGACUGUCGUCGUCGUCUUUCUCAUCGUUCUCCAGAAACUAGAAACCCUAAUUUCAAAUUCGAAAAUGGCGACACAAAAUCAAACCAUACAUCUCACAGAGGCGAUAUGGACGGAGAUUAUAGCGAGGUUACCAUUGAGAAUCAUCGCUAGAUUCAAACUGGUAAGCAAAACAUGGAAAUCAACAAUCGAAUCAGUCUACUUCCGCCGUCUCUUUGUGUCUGUGCACCGAAAAUCCUCAACCUCGUGGUCGCUAAUGUGGUACGGAUUAAAAGAUCUCAUAGGUUUCCAUGGAUGCGAGACAUGGGGUCUUCCAAAGUCUCUAUCUUUUUAUAUCCCAUCGUCUCUUUACAUUGUUGCGGCGUCUUCCCAUGGAUUGGUUAUGAUUUCAGAGUAUGAUCAUGCUUGCUGCUUUGUGGGCAAUCCAGUUUUACAACAAUGGAUCCAAAUCCCUCCAGCUCCAGGUUAUUCUUCUGUGUUAGGUUUGGUGACUCGCGUGGACGACUAUGGCUUUGUUUUGGGCUUCAAAGUGGUUAGGUUAGCUGAAAUGCGACCGACGAAUAAUGAUGUCUCCGGUACUUUGAGUGUGUUUUUGUAUUCCUCUGAGACUGGGAUUUGGACUUCUAAGAUAAUUCACUGCCCUUGUCGAAUCACCAACACUGCUUCUUUGACUUUGGAUGGUUCAAUUUACUUUAACCAUCUUAGUGAACCUGGAGUACUCGUAGCUUAUGAUUUCUAUUCUGAAUCCUCCGAUCAAUUUCGGGUUAUACCUCUCCCAGAUCAUCCGAAUCACGGCUUCAAUCACAACUUCAAAGGUGCUUUGACUACGUCCCACGGAAUUUUCAUGUAUAUCAGAACAUUAGCUCAAUCCUCGUCUAAUGUUUUCAAGGCUUGGAGGUUGAACAAUGAUUUAUCCUGGCAACUUUUGUGGAAUAUCGCCCUCCCGCUACUUAUCGGUGAUUAUCUACCUAUGGCAAUGCAUCCAUUUGAUAGUGACACAGUCUAUCUAUGGAGUCAAGAUAAUCGUCAUGUGGUAUCAUGUAACUUGCGGACUCAGAAGAAUAGAAUCCUCGGAGCUGAAGAUAAUGAUGAUGAUCAUCUAGAUUGUUUCUUCAACCAGCCUAUUUGUGAGGAGUGUAUGGAUGAGAUAUGCAGGUAUAAAGUUUCUGUCAGGUUAUUACAAUUGGUGCUCCCACGGUGGAUGGAAUCGGCGCUUUGUCCUCCCCAAGUUGAGAUGAUAGAUACAUCUUCAUUACAUUCUUACGUUAAGUCAAUGCAAGAGACAAGAAGAAGGAAUUGGAACCAAUGAUUUCAUUUUGGUUUUCUGGUUUUCUUUCUCAUCUCUUACGUUAAGUCAAUGCAAGAGACAAGAAGAAGUAAUUGGAAUCAAUGAUUUUUUUUUUUUUUUGCUAAUCAAACACCAUAUAUUAAUUCACGGAAUAAGACUCUCUUCUAGAGAGAGCCAAUCAGGUACCGUCGAACUUACAUGGGAAAAACAGAACCCGCGAUUUCUUGCACAUUUCGCAAGAUAAUCGGCGGAGGUAUUACCACUACGAGGGAUAUGCUUAAGACUGAAAGUAGUAAAACGAUCCCUGUAAUAAGCAAAGUCUGUUAACUCUGUAAAAAAUGUAGGCCACUCUUCAGGAGCACAAGUCAUAGCCAAUAGGUCAGAACAAUCCGUCUGAAUGAUGAUACUUGUCAUUGGGAUCGCCAAUAAACACUUCAUCGUCCAUAAAAGAGUACCCAGUUCAGCAUGUAGGGGAGAAAGACUUCUACGCGAGCCUUUCAAGCCCAAGUGUAGCAGUCGUCCUCCCUGAUAGACAAGCCACCCGUGCCCACUCCUAGUCUCCGUCCCGAUCCAAGAUCCAUCAAUGGAGCAUACCGGUCUAUCCUCUGGAGAUGGUGACUCAUGCGUACUAAGAAUCAACUCGGCCCGAGGGUCUUCUCGCUGAUUUGCUCGUCUCCACGCGCCUUCCUCUUGUGUUGCAAGAUCUAGCGUUUCCUGAGGUGGUACGCUCAAAUUAUCAAAAAUCUUUCGAUUGCGCGCCUUCCAAAUAUACCACAUAAUCCAUGGGAAUACUCUUAGACUCUCUUCAUCCGCACCCGCCUCUUUACCCCGCCAAUACAGAUAAUCUAAGUUAUUGUAGAGUGACGUCGAGGGAAACAGUGCUGGGGGAGAUGGGAUAUUGGAGAGAGCCCAGACUUGUCUAGCAGGAGGACAUUCAAAUAUCAGAUGAUUGAUUGAUUCUUCUUCUGCACCACAUCUUGAACAUCCUUUAUCUCUACCAAUAUGGCGAUAAAAUAGGCGUUGGCUCAAAGCCAAACAACCAGUCACACAUUGCCACACGAAAUGCUUUAAUUUUCGCGUAGUUUUUAAUUUCCAAGCUUGCGCCUUUAGUGUCGUAACACUAGGUCUCUGAGAAGGGUGGUCGCAAACAGGGCGAGAAAGAUUUCUCGCGACCUCGUAUCCAGAUUUGACGGUGUAAUUACCAGACUUUGUCAUUGUCCAACAAUAACCAUCAUUCCAGACAAUACGGCUCGGUUUAAUCCCUAAUAUUAGGGUAAUUUCCUCCGGGGGAAACAAUUCCCGGAGACGAUCCAUCUUCCACUGUUUAGACCCAAAGUCAAUCAAGGUAUUAACGAAAACCAAAGGGUCUCUCUCCACCGAUAAUCCCUUAGGUGGGCGUGCCGGAGUAUCUAGUAUCCAGGGGUCUGUCCAAAUGCAGGUACCGAAGCCCGAGCCAAUGGUCUUGCGGAUUCCAUAUUUAAGAACGUCCUUGGCGGCCAACAUGCUUCUCCAUCCAUACGACGGUCGAUUGGAAACAGUGAUCUCUAGCGGACUAGAAUACCGAAAGUAACGUCCUUUAAGAACCCUACUAAGGAGAGAAUCUGGAAAUCGUAAUAAUCUCCACAAUUGCUUCGCCAAGAGUGCGAGAUUAAAAUCUUCCAAGGACCUAAAUCCUAGCCCUCCUUCAGAUAGUUGGGUACAGAUUUGGUCCCAAGCUAUCCAGUGUAUUCCUCGACUAUCUACUUUAUUACUCCACCAAAAGUUGGCAAUUGCACUGGUAAGUUUGGAACAUAUUGCUUUUGGCAGUAGGAAGCACGACAUUACAUAUGUCGGAAGAGCUUGUGCUUGUGAUUUAAUUAGGACUUCUUUUCCGCCUUUAGAUAGGAAUUUUGACGACCACGAGUUGACUCUAGUUUGUAAUCUGUCUCGCACAAACGCGAAGACCUGAGCUUUUGAUCCAUGUAUUUUUUCAGGAAGGCCUAAAUAUGUUCCCAUCCCGCCUUCUCGUGAAAUCCCAAGAAUCGAUUUGAUUUCUUGCCGUACGGGGGGUGGGACCUCGUUACCAAACAUAAUGGAGGAUUUAUUCAGAUUAACCUCUUGUCCAGAUGCCGCGCCAUAAGAGCGGAUAAUGUCAAUAACUUCUUUACUCUGGUCGGCAUUGGCCUGAUAGAAAAAUAAGCUAUCGUCAGCAAACAGAAGAUGUGAGACACGAGGGCUCGCAUGAGAGAUUCGAAGCCCCUGUAUUUUGCCUUCCCUUUCCGCCUUCCGAAUCUGAGCGAUAAGAGCUUCCGUACACAAGAUAAAUAGGUACGGAGAAAUUGGGUCUCCUUGACGAAUUCCUCGCGAUGGUCGAAUCCGACCUUUUGGGUCGCCAUUAAUCAAAAUCCGAUAUGAAACUGAGGUAAUGCAUUGCAUUAUCCAGUCUAUCCACUGAAUGUUGAAUCCCAUCUUUUCCAUCAAAGCUCGGAGAAACCCCCAUUCCACCCUAUCAUAGGCCUUACUCAUAUCCGUUUUUAGGGCCAUAAACUUCUUCCGAUUUACCGGAUUGGAACGAAGAGCAUGGAAGUUUUCUUGCGCGAUCAAGAUAUUAUCUGUGAUUAAUCUCCCUGCAACGAAUGCAGAUUGCGUCUCGGAUAUUAAAUCCGGAAGAAAUCUCUUUAGUCGUAGGCUUAGGAUUUUCGAAAUGACCUUAUAACUUACAUUACAUAAGCUAAUAGGACGAAAACCUGACAUUUCUCGCGGUCUUUCCCCUUUAGGGAUAAAACAAAUAUUGGUCUCAUUCAGCUUCCCGUCAAAAAUUCCGGAGCUAAAGAAAUUCUUCACCAUAAUGGUGAGAUCGCCUUUUAUGAUUUCCCAAAACCGCUGGAAAAAAAGAGCAGUCAUCCCAUCCGGACCUGGGGCUUUAGUCGGCUUCAAAGAGAAUAAAGCUCUCUUGACUUCUUCUUCAGUGACUUCUUUGACUAAGAACUCAUUCAUAGCUGGGGUGACCGAUGGUGAGAUGUCUCUAAGAGCGGAUACUGGGUCCACCGGGUUCGAUGAAGUAAAUAGGUUUUCAAAAUAAUCUACCGCGACUCUUUCAAUGCCAUCUUCAUUAUCCACCCACGUCCCAUUAUCAUCUAGAAUGCCUAAAAUCUUGUUCUUCGCCCUUCAUUGUUUUGUCAAAGCGUGAAAAUAUUUUGUGUUUUUAUCACCAAGCGCUAGCCAGUUUUGGCGACUCUUUUGGUACCAAAAUAUUUCCUCCUCUGUAUAAGCAUCGCCCAAUUGCUUUUUGAGCUCCCGAAGUUCAUCCAAAGAUGCGUUAUCAUCCGCAUAAUUUUCCUCAAUUUUAUCAUGGAGUUCCUUGAUAAGUAUCUCAGAAUUAGUUUGUGUUGAUUUCUUCCAGAUGGAGAUAACCCGUUUACAGUUCUGGAUUUUUUUCAUUAUGGGUCGGUCUACCCGACCACCAGCUCCGUUCCACCCUUCCAACACUGCUUCGUUGAGCCCGGGUUUUCCAAUCCAUCUUUUGUCAAACAAGAAUUUUCUCGAGAUUUUUCUCGGACUUGAUUGUAUAAAUGCAAGGAGUGGUCUAUGAUCCGACCCCCACAUCUUUAAGUACUCCACAUUAGUGUGGGAAAAAAUAUUAUGCCAUUCUUCAUUUCCCAUGGCUCUGUCUAACCGACAUCUAAUCUUACCAUUUGACCGUUGUCCAAUCCAGGAGAAUUGAUUUCCCUGAAAAGGAAAAUCAAUAAGUCCACACAUAUGGAUCAUAGCCCGGAAUGGUAGGAAGGAGGCUUCAGAACGUUUUUUUCCUCCUCUUUUCUCAUGGUUUCCUGUUAUCUCAUUAAAAUCUCCAAUAAUAAACCAUGCCUCGGAUCUAGAUAUACCAAUUCGAGUCAAUCUCUCCCACACGUACUCGCGAUUUGGGACAACAGGAUCACCAUAGAUAAAAGUCAUAAAAACUCGAUUACCGUUAAUGAUAGUUUCGAUGUCAAUCAAUCGAUCAUCUAACAACAAAAACUUAACCGGAUAUUCCUUAGAAUAAAAUAAAGCUAAGCCUCCACUAGUACCAUCAGGUUCAACAGUUUGGAGAUUGUCAAAUCCUAGAUCAACUUGCAAAGUUUGCAGAUACAUUUUGUCAUUCUUGGUCUCUGAUAAGAACAUGAAAUCUGGAGAAUACAUACGACACAACUCUACCAGUCGACGAGAAGUCUCUUUCGCUUUCGCCCCUUGACAAUUCCACGCUAAGGUCCUCAUAUAUUAGUUCCGGAGGGAGAAUGAAACCCCACCGUACUAAUGUUGAAUCGAACGAUCUUGAGUGUGAAGAAUAGAUACUCCUCGUUACAAGAAAGGAAAACUGAAUUUCGAAAGAUUUUCAUAUUUGGCGAAAUCCAAUUGUUGUUUUGACAUUUAUGUGUCAAUGAUCGCUCAUAAUAAGAGGAUAUUGAUGUGCACCAUAGCUCCAACAAAAUUAUGCAUAACACACAAGAUAAUUGUAUGAGUAAACAUUCCCUAAAGGAAGAUUGUUGAAAUAAACUCUCUUUAAAAGAGGAAGGUAGUCCAAUUAGACUCAUGAAGUUGGGUUUUGAAAACAAGAAAUGGUUUCCAUAAUCCCACGAAACAUAUCUUGCAACAUAGGCCCACCAAGAAGAUUCUGCAACAGAGGCCAAUGAAGCAGAUUCAUCAUCAGAGGCCCAACAAGCUUCCAAUCUGAGUGGUGGUGAUGGAGCUUGAAGUCGUCGGAUGUUUGGUUUGGUAGAUAUGCCGGCGAAGACAUUGGAGAAGAUGAGCAAAGCCCAUGAAUGGAUUAGGGUUAAACAGAUUGGGGCACAAUACGGGCAUAUUGGGACGACGGCGAUAAGGACAUCGGGGAACGUCUCUGCGCCGGCAAAGCUUAUCCCGGCAGCAGGAAAAGAGCAAUUCAGGCGAGUCACUAGAAGCCUAGUAGAGGUGGAGGAAAAUCUGGUAAUCUCUAGGUCAAAGGUGAUGGAGGUACGGACAUAAACAUAGAUAGUGGUGAAGAUUGAUGAGCAAAAUAUCUCCAAAACGGAGUAGUUCAUCAUCGAGUUCAGAUCUGGUAAUAGCGAAAGGGGAUGGAGGCGCUUUAGCUGCUCCGACCUAACGGGGACUUCUGAGAGAGUAAUUGAUAUCAUUGGAGACUUUAAUCGCCUAGAUUUCUUCACAUAUGUGAGAAUGGAUAACUGAACAAUUCGCCGGAAACAACAAGGCCAUCGGUGAUGACUUUGCUUUGUCGAGGUUGGGGACAUCCGGAGAAACCCAAAAGAAUGGAGAAAGAACGAGAAUGUUUCAGAUCUGGAUUUUAAAAGAGAGAAGCCACCUGAGGAUGAAAAUGAGAGCCAAGGAAAACACACAUGAGCACCUCCAAGCUCAUAUUCGCCUAACAUACUUAGCAAGAAGCUAGAUCCGGUUCGUUUCCAUGUCUGAAAAAAGGUACAGUGGUAGGACGGUGAUGUGGCGGUGGUGAGAACGGCAAAGGGAUAUUGUGAGCUGUGUAGAAGCAUCAGAUCUGGAAGAACAGUGGUGACCCACUUCGUUUCUCAAGUGAGAACGUCUACGAAAAUGAAGAACACUUAGCAUAGAGCUAGAAUCUUAAUUGGAAUCAAUGAUUUCAUUUUGGUUUUUCUGUUUUUUUCUUUUCUUGUCUUUUGGUACUAUCUAUAUAAUGGAAGACAACCAUAUCCAUAUCAACCAAUAUUUGCUUCUUCUUAUUUAUCUUUCAGUUCAAUGACAUGUUACCAUUUCAUCUUUCUAACUUGUUACACAAAUUGUCACUUCCUUUGAACAAAAGUUCUUUCAAUUGAUGUUUCAUUCCAGCCGCGCGUAGCUUCUUAAAGAUAGGUUCUUCGAUAGCUUCACUUCUGAGAACAUAACCUUGAGGAGUAAAUCGAAGCGUUAUCUGUUUGUUCGAUGUGAUUCAACAAAUGAAACACUUAAUAAAAGGAGACUUGAUGGAACAUGAAUCAAGAGCUUGUAAUGGAGCUGCACUUAAACCUUGAAGUUGAAGCAAGUAGAAGAAAGAAAAACCAAAAGGGAUUUUGAAACCAAUCUAACGGGUUGGUUUCCCGCAUGUUAGUCUUAGUUUCAAGUACCAUAUAGCAGCAACUAGAUAUAGCUUAAUUGAUGUUAUAACUGGUUGUAGACCAAAUCUAGUUUAUGUCAUUAGCAUUUAGCUUAAGCAAGCUAAACGACGUCGUACGUUGCGUAUUCCCAUUAUUGAAAUGUGUUAGUUAGUGCCCGCUUCAAAAAUUCGUAAUCACAAACACAAGUAAGACUUGGUAGCCUCUUACACAAAAUUAAUAGUACUAUUUUAAAACAAAGAAAUCAAUAAAAAAUAUAAAAGCAAAAAAGUUUGAUCGAUGAAACGAAUACCGUUGGAUCAAACCAUCGAAUUAUAAAAACUAGAUCACGAGAAUAAUAAAAAGAAAAAAAGAAAAAAGCAGAAAAUUCAUAAAAGAAAGAAAAAUUCAUACUUCCAAAGGAAAGGAAAAAAUCUCAAGUCAACAAACAACAACGAAGGUCUGAAGAACUUUGAAUGUUGUUAUCAUAAUCAUCAUAAUAAUCAUAAUCAUCAUCAUCAUCGUUGUUUUCGUGUCUGGGUAAUUUCUCCUGUUGACCUUCUAAUUCUGUCAUCUCCGAUUAUUGAUUUUCUUUUGUACCGAAGCCCUUUUGUCUCUUGUCUGAAAUCAAUCUGAAAAAAAGGUUCUGUUUUUUGGGAAAUGUGAAGCUUUUUGUUCUCUGAUUGUUUCAUUUUCCGAUUGUUUCAGAAGAACUGGAAUCGCCGAAAGUUGGGAUUUUUUUGGUUAGAUUGUAUAAAAAGGGCGUGAUUAAGGAAGAAGCAGAAGAUAAAAAGGGGAUUUUUUGGUUGUUGUAAUCUGGGAAAGUUUGGGACUUUCUAUCGAUCUCAGGUUUGUGAUUUGAUUAUGUUUUUAGAUAUAUUAGGCUGAUCUAGGAUUUGAUGGAUUUUGCUUUUUUCUCAGAUGGUGAAAAGACCAAGUCUCAGUUUGAAAACUUGAUGGAUUUUGUUCUUCUAGGAACUUGAAUUCUGGUGUUGAGAAUAAGAAAACUAUGUGGAAACAGAUUCUAAGUAAGCUUCCCAACAAAAAGUCUUCUAAGCACGAACAUCGUGGACGUGAACACGGUGGUCAUUCUUCUUCAUCUUCUCAUACUUCUGGUGCCUCUACUUCGAAAAACAGUGAUAAUGGUACCGGGAAAUCAGGGAAUUCGCAUGCUAAGAACGCUUCAGCAGGUGGAAAAUCCGCUGCUUCUGACUCGGGUUAUAAAGAUGGGAAUCUAAAGAGUAGUGGGAGCAACAGCAACAACAGCAACAACAGCAACAACAACGGAGUCUUUACUCCUUAUGAAGCAUUGCCGAGUUUUAAAGAUGUUCCAAACACGGAAAAGCAAAACUUGUUCAUAAAAAAGUUGAACUUGUGCCGUGUAGUGUUUGAUUUCACAGAUCCUACGAAGAAUAUCAAGGAAAAAGAGAUUAAGAGGCAGACAUUACUGGAGCUUGUGGACUAUGUGAAUUCUCCUAAUGGAAAGUUUAGCGAAGUGGGUAUCCAAGAAGUCAUUCGAAUGGUCUCUGCUAACAUAUUUAGAACGCUAAAUCCUCAACCACGGGAAAAUAAAGUUAUUGAUGCCUUAGACCUGGAGGAGGAAGAACCUUCCAUGGAUCUUGCAUGGCCUCACUUGCAGCUUGUGUAUGAGCUUUUCUUGAGGUUUGUUGCUUCGCCUGAAACUGACACCAAGUUGGCGAAGAGAUAUAUAGAUCAAUCUUUUGUCUUGCGGUUACUCGAUUUAUUUGAUUCCGAGGAUCCUAGAGAAAGAGAUUGUCUGAAAACCAUUCUCCAUCGGAUCUAUGGUAAAUUUAUGGUACACCGACCUUUCAUCAGGAAAUCCAUAAACAACAUCUUCUAUAGGUUUGUUUUCGAAACAGAGAAACAUAACGGGAUUGCUGAGUUUCUUGAAAUCUUGGGUAGUAUCAUCAAUGGAUUUGCUCUUCCCUUGAAAGACGAGCACAAAGUGUUUCUUGUCCGAGUUUUGAUACCUCUCCACAAACCAAAAUGUUUGCAAAUGUAUCAGCAACAAUUGUCUUAUUGUAUCACACAGUUUGUGGAAAAGGAUUGCAAACUUGCUGAUACAGUUAUAAGAGGAUUGUUGAAAUAUUGGCCAGUGACAAAUAGUUCCAAAGAAGUCAUGUUUCUGAAUGAGUUGGAGGAAGUACUCGAAGCAACUCAGCCACCAGAAUUCCAACGGUGCAUGGUACCACUGUUUCGCCAAAUAGCCCGAUGUUUGAACAGUCUGCAUUUUCAGGUACCUGUCAUUCUCCAUUCUUUCUGAAAUAAUAGCACCUCACAUUUGUUUCUAAACUGGCAAAUGUCCCGGUGCUUUGAUGUUUUCUGAAAACUGCUCUGUUACUGUUAGUGUUGGGUUUGACAUUAUCUAGGCCAUAUCGUGUUGACAUACUUUAACUGUAUUAGUGUUUCGCCUGUGUAUAUAUGUUACAUUACCAGCUUAUGAGAAGUCGUUAUAGCCUACCAGUUAUAUCAAAUGAGCAAAUUGAAGAGUUGAUUUUUGCGGUAUGCAGGGUAUCAAUGUUUAGGACUGUUGUAUUCAGCUCUAGAUGAUACUUAAGGCAAUUUCUAAGCAACAUUGAUAUAUUAAGGAUAUUGUUCAGUAGAAAGUUACAAAAAAGGAAAAAAGUAUCGCAUUGAAAGGUAUCUGUUUUGGCUAAACAGUGACUGCAUAUGAUCUUUUAGAGGGAAACGUUUGUUCAUGUCAUAUAACUCUAGUAGGUUCAGGAUCUAGUGCAUUGUGACUAAAGCUUAAAUCUUUGAUUCAGUCUAUUAAACGUAUCUGUUGGGUUAUCAGGUUGCAGAGAGAGCUUUAUUCUUAUGGAAUAACAAUCACAUUGAGAAUCUGAUAAUGCAGAACCGUAAAGUCAUUCUUCCAAUUAUAUUCCCUGCAUUGGAGAGAAAUGCACAGAAACAUUGGAACCAAGCUGUUCAUAGCUUGACACUAAACGUGCGAAAGAUAUUUCAUGACCUUGACCCUGAGUUGUUCAAAGAAUGCCUUGCUAAGUUCAAGGAAGAUGAAUCAAAUGCAGCUGAAACCGAAGCAAAACGUGAAGCCACUUGGAAACGAUUGGAAGAACUCGGUGUGCGAAAGGCUUCAUAAAGUUAGAGCUAUAGACAAGAGGGAAAGAGAGCUUCUGUGUCUUCUAUCGGAAUUGGCAUGUUCUUCAGAUACAUACUUGAGAAGAGAAAAGUUUCAUAUUGGUCUCUUCGUUUGUACGAAAGGAAACUCAAAGAUGUAAGAUUGUUCCCGUUUUGAUUUCCAUUAUUUUUAUUUCUUGUUAAUGGGUUAUUUUUGCUACAUUGUAUGAUGAUCUCUUGUUCCACUUUCUUGAGACUUGUCUGAUUCAUUUCAUCUUCUGCUUUGAUGAUACCUGCAAAAAUUGCAGCUAUAUGAUUUGCCUCUCUAAAGAAUCAGUUUGUUGGUUGUUUGUAUUAAAUGUGCUUCCUUUUGGAUUUUCAUUUGUAUAAUUUCUUCCAAAUCAGGAAAAAAAUCGAAUCUUUAUUAAGAAAAAAACCACUUUUUUGUUACGAACUCAAGAGAGAAAUCUUAGACCAAACCAAAUUGUUGGUUUCAGUUUUUUGAGUUUGUGGGUUCGGUUACGAACUCCACAAGUCUAGGAGGAACUCUCAAAAGAUCUUCAUUGAGAGAUUGGUUUAGUGGUUGGAUUUGAAAUUUUUUUUUGUUGAUCCAUUGGUUAUGACUUGAACUGAAAACACUGUCGAGAUGUUUUCUCUUGUCCUGGUCAGUGAAAAUUUUCUCUGGUCUUAGGGUCUUCUCUCAGUCACCAUCCUCUCUUUCUCUCUCUUUACUCUCUAAUCUUUAUCCAUUCUCUCUCUUCUCUCUAAUCUGUAUUGCCAACGAAGCAAUAGCUAUGAAAAGCUAAACCCUUUCUUCUUCUUCUUCUUCUUCUUCUUCUUCAAUUGUUUAGAUCACUUGGGUCAAACCCAAGUCUUCUUCUUUCUAUGAUUCAUCAAUCUAGAUCUUCCUAUCUGGGUCCAGAAACGAUUCACGCGCUUCGUUCAUGAUAUAAAGUUACUACCUUUUUCUUGCUUCUGGGUCAUGGUUCUGUCUGCUUUUCGUCUUUUGCUUUUGUCUGGAUGAUUCAUUAAUCUCUGAGAUCUAGUAUGUUCACAAGAGUUGUUCUUAUGCGUGGUGAGAUGAUCUUAGGAGUAGUUCAGCAUCUUUCUUCAAUUCGGAUUUUGAGUUUCUGAGAUCUGUUUUUUUUGCUUAAAGAAUCCGAUCUGAGUUUGAGGAAGUUGACCAAUAUAGAUCGAAGAUGUUUAAGCAGAUACUUGGGAAGCUUCCUAAGAAAACUUCUGCUAAGUUUUGGGAUAAUGGUGAAUCCCAAACUCCAGAUAACAACAAUCAAGGAGGUGAUGAAGUUUUAAGCCAGAGAUCAUCGUCAAAUGGAGAUACUUUGGAUUGUGUUUCUUUUGAUGUAUUGCCAAGGUUGAGAGAUGUUUCCAUCUCUGAGAAGCAAGAACUGUUUCUUAAGAAGCUUAGACUAUGUUGUGUUGUGUUUGAUUUCGUCGCCGAGCCUCAACAGAACUUCAAGGAGAAAGAGAUCAAAAGGCAGACGCUUCUUGAAGUUGUGGAUUAUGUUAUCUCUUCAGGGAAUGGGAAGUUCCCUGAAUCAGUUAUUCAAGAAGCUACGAAGAUGAUUUCGGCGAAUCUCUUUAGUGAUCCUCAUCGACAAUGGAAGAACAAAACUUCAGAAGCAUUGGAUUUGGAAGAAGAAGAAGGAUCUUUGAAUCCUUCUUGGCCUCACUUGCAGAUUGUUUAUGAGUUCCUUCUAAGAAUCGUUGCGUCUCCCAACACUGACCCCAAGAUAUCCAAGAAAUACAUCGAUCAUACAUUCGUUCUCAAGCUAUUGGAUUUGUUUGAUUCUGAAGAUCCGAGGGAAAGAGAGUAUCUGAAAACGAUACUUCACCGGAUCUACGGGAGGUUUAUGGUUCAUCGCCCGUUCAUCAGGAAAACUAUGAACAACAUCUUGUAUGAUUUUAUAUUCGAGACCGGGAAACACUCAGGAAUCGCCGAGUUUCUUGAAGUGUUAGGAUCCAUCAUCAAUGGAUUUGCUUUACCACUCAAGGAAGAACACAAGCUCUUCCUUACUCGUGUCUUGAUUCCUCUACACAAACUGAAAUGCUUACCAAAUUACCAUCAGCAGCUUUCUUAUUGCGUUAUACAGUUCGUUGAGAAAGAUUGUAAGCUUGCGGAUACCGUAAUUAGAGGGAUGUUGAAGUACUGGCCUGUUACUAAUAGCUCUAAAGAAAUAAUGUUCUUGAAUGAACUGGAGGAGAUAUUAGAAGCAACUCAAUUAACAGAGUUUGAACGGUGUAUGAUUCCGCUCUCUCGCCAAAUUGCUCAGUGCUUAAGCAGUUCUCACUUUCAGGUAAAGUUAAGAGUUUAUUUGGUACACUUACCUGAUUGUUAGAUUCUUGAAUUGUUCAUAAAAAAUCAACUGCUUGUGUGAUUAGGUAGCAGAACGGGCAUUAUACUUAUGGAACAACGAUCAUGUCACUAAUUUGGUGAGACAGAACAGUAGAAUCAUUUUACCGAUAGUGUUUCCCGCUUUGGAGAAAAAUGGUAGCAGCCAUUGGAAUCAGGCUGUGAAGAAUUUGACCGAGAAUGUUCUCAAGGUUUUGUCGGAUACAAAUCCAGAUUUAUUCGAAGAAUGUUUGCGCAAGUUCCAAGAAGAUCAGCAAAAAGCAGAAGAUACUAAAAAGAAGAAUGGAGAAACCUGGAAACAGCUAGAGGAGAUUGUUGCUUCAAAGGGACACACAUCAAUGGCGAAGUAAGAGUUUUUCUGCACUUUACGCGAUGCAACAAGAAUCGGUUUAUUGUUUUGUUUUCUUUACGCCUGAAAGGUAUAUACAUUUACUUUGCUUUGAUUGCUUCAAGUCUCUGGUUUCGACUUCAAGACUAGUUUAAUUCAGUUAAACAGUGUGAGAUUUUAGCCAAAUGUUGUUGUCCUCUUUCAGUUCUUGAUUUGUCUGUAUACUUCGUUCAUGUAAACAUCUUGUUAUGAAAACACAAAUUUUCUAUUGUUUGAAGUCACUUAGUUUAUAGGUGAAAGAGAUGGCUCUAAUAUUAAAAUUUGAUUCUGGAAUAAUGGUUUUGUCAUUUAGUAUACAGAGGAUCUAUUGGCAUUUUCCUGCAAGAAUAUUUGGGUUUUGUCUGUUAAAAGGUUCUGUUACUCCAGGUAUAUUCUUCUAACCAAGAAACCGAAGAAAAGCUCUCUGCGAUGACUCUUGGUCGGUUUUUUGUCAGGAGGUUUCAUCAGAUGAGAGUUGAUGUUAUCUCCAGAGAUAUCAUCAAACCGUCAUCUCCAACUCCAAACCACUUAAAGAAGUUUCAACUCUCUCUUUUAGAACAGCUCGGUCCAACGAUCUUUGGUCCUAUGGUUUUCUUCUAUUCAGGUAACAACAGAAUCAAACCAGCUGAGCAAUUGCAGAAGCUGAAGAAGUCGUUAUCUGAAACUUUAACCCAUUUCUACCCUCUCGCUGGACGGCUCAAAGGCAACAUAAGUAUCGAUUGUAAUGACUCCGGCGCUGAUUUCCUCGAAGCAGAAGUCAAUUCCCCGCUUUCGAGUCUCCUACAAGAGCCUUCUUCGGACAGCUUGCAACAACUGAUUCCUACAUCAGUUGAUUCCAUAGAGACAAGAACCAGACUGUUUCUUGCUCAAGCUAGUUUCUUUGAAUGUGGAAGCAUGGCUAUAGGAGUUUGUAUCUCUCAUAAACUCGCUGACGCAACUUCUAUCGGUUUAUUCAUGAAGAGCUGGGCUGCAAUCUCGUCCCAAGGAUCAAUCAAAACCGUUGGGUUUCCAGUGUUUGACACGGCCAAGAUCUUCCCACCUGGAAACUUCUCUGAGACUUCCCCUGCACCAGUGGUUGAGCCAGAGAUCAUGAUGAAUCAGACUCUUUCGAAGAGAUUUGUAUUCGAUUCUUCGAGCAUUCAAGCCCUGCAAGCAAAAGCUUCAAGCUUUGAAGUGAAUCAACCUACAAGAGUCGAAGCUGUUUCAGCUCUUAUAUGGAAAACUGCAAUGAAAGCUACAAGAACAGUUUCAGGAACAUCGAAACCGUCGAUUCUGGCUAACUCCGCGAGUCUACGCUCACGCGUCUCUCCACCAUUCACAAAGAACUCAAUCGGGAAUCUAGUGAGCUACUUUGCAGCAAAAGCAGAGGAAGGAACAAACCAAACAAAGCUUCAAACUUUGGUUUCGAAAAUACGAAAAGCGAAACAGUGGUUUCGCGAUAACCAUAUACCAAAGCUUGUAGGAAACCCAAAUGCUACAGAGAUCAUUUGUAGCUACCAGAAAGAAGCAGGAGAUAUGAUUGCAAGUGGAGAUUUCGAUUUCUACAUCUUCUCGAGUGCUUGUCGGUUCGGUUUAUACGAUACCGAUUUCGGUUGGGGAAAACCGGUUUGGGUCGGGAUUCCUACGGUUAGACAGAAGAACAUCGUGACGCUUCUCGACACGAAAGAAGCUGGUGGAAUCGAAGCUUGGGUGAAUCUAUAUGAACAAGAGAUGAAUCUUUUUGAACAAGAUAGAGAAUUGCUCCAAUUUGCUUCUCUGAAUCCUAGUGUGAUCCAACCUUUUCUCCAUGUUCUUUGAUUCUAAGUCCGGUUUAAUGAGCUAAACCGGAUAUAUUUGUUGAAAUUGGUUCGAUUUUGACUAGCCGUUAGGAGGCCACUAAAAACGUUAAAAUUCAAAUAACGGGCAAAAUUUGGUGAUGUAAUAAAUAGUCCUGAAGAAUCACUUUUUUUAUGAUAUAUAAUAAUAAAUUCAGAAGUCAUUUUAAAGCAAUUUCAUGUUAAAAUUAAAAACAAGUUUUUGUCAUAUUUUUUUCAUAAAGACACUUUCAAAACUUUUAUUACUUUCUACAAUUAUUAAUUUAGCACUAAAAAUAAAGUUAAACUUGAACCACACUCUCAGAACUUAAUACUAAAAGUUAAAUAUUAGUGUUUAUUAUUAAGUAAUAGACAACAAGAAUUACCAAAAUGAUAAUUGAUAGCUAAUAAAAAUCAUCCACAUGAAAAGGCUAAAUAUAGUUCAAAAUAAAAUAAAAUAAACAUUCUAUAAAAUGUGAAACAUAAUAUAUUUUCAUUAUUUUAUUUCUUGUUUAGCACUUGUAAACACUAGUGUAUAUAAUAAUUAUAUUAUUCCAAAUUUAGAUAAAACGUUUUCUAUAAAUGACGUAAUAAAAUAAGGAAGUGGCCGUUGGGGAAAUUUAAAUCAUAUGCUUAGAGUUCGGACCUACUUUCAGAUUUGCAGCCGAAGAAGCUUUAAGAUUUUUUAGUUUUCAGUUUCUCAGCGAAACCACCAGAUUUGGGGAUAAAAUUAGGGUUUUUGGAUCUCCAGAACAAAAAAGAAUGGGAGAAUCAAUUUGCUUUGUGAGAUCUUUCUCGCAAGCUGCAGAGUUUUCAUCGCAUCAAAUCAACAACGAGGUUAGUGCUUCAGAUUUGUGAAUCUACUUCGAUUUCGUGGAUUCAAGAUACAAUCUUGGAUUUAGGGUUUUGAUUCUAGAAAUUGAUUUCGUGUAGAGUGUUGAGAUUUGAGAUUUGGUUUUGCAGGUGGUUCCUAAUCGUGUGCUUACGGAAUCGGUAUCGUUUGGUAGAUUUGCGAAUGAAACACUAGCGUGGGAGAGAUGGUCAGCUUUUACUCAGAAUCGUUACUUGGAAGAGGUUGAGAGGUUUACUAAACCUGGUUCUGUGGCUCAGAAGAAAGCUUUCUUUGAAGCUCAUUUCAAGAACAGAGCUUCCGGGAGAGUAACGGAGCCGAAAAAGAUCGAAGAAGUUGAAACCGGUGAUGAGAUUGUAUGUGAGAUACCAAAGGAUAUUCUCGUUGAUUCAGAAGUAACACUAGUGGUGUCUAACGGUGAGGUGGAUGAAACAACUGAUGUGAAAACUGGUGAAGUGGAGAACUUGAAGUCAGUGGUUGUUCUUGAAGACAAUGGUCUUGAUGAGGUAAUGCAUCAAAUUCAUUUUUUGUUAGAUUGGAAUUUGAUGUUUUGUUCUAUUCUCUCAACGUCCAUGGUGUUUUCAGGAGAAUUCUACUUCUUUGAGCAAAGAAAGACCUCCUAGUUCUUCUGAAUCGAAGGUCUCAAGUUCAAAACUGGAACCUUCCGUUGUUAUAGAACUGGAUCAUUCACUUAACAACACUAGAAAAGAGUCAUCCUUGAGUAGUACAAGGUCACUUAGUGUAUCGAAGAACCGAAGUAGAUCACCUCCUGAAUCCGUUCAAAUGUCAAUCAGCUGUGCUCCUUCUGGUAGUACCGACAAAAAAAUUGUCAGGAUGCCCCAAAACGGUGCUAAGAGUGCAGUGAAAGCAGACAAGAAGAAGAGAUCAUGUCCAAGUUCAGUUCACAUGUCACUCAAUUUUGCUUCUUCUGCUCGUCAUACGACCAAAGCAGCCUCGAAAACCUUGGUAAGAAACUCCACUACACAGGAAACAACUUCAUCAAAUGCUAGAAACAAAGUUUUCCCAAAGACAAACGAACCAACGGGAGCUUCAAAAAGCCGCAAGAGACCAUUGUCUCAAACAUCCAAAGAAGGUUCUAAAGCUGCAAAAUGUUCAACCAGUGUAAUUCUCUUCUCAAGUUUCUCUCAUUGCGUAUAUCGCAUAUUUGCUGAGACUGACUCUUACAUAUAUUGCAGGCCUCUGCUGUCACGAUACCCGAACUUCCUCCUCUCAGUAAGCAGCUAUCAGAAAACAAAAGGUUACUGAUCCAACCAUCUUCAAUACAAUUUAUCGCUUUAGGCUAUUACUUACUAACUUGGCUUCUUCUUAUAUACAGGAAAAACAUAACUGUAGGGAGAUUAAUUUCAUGCAGAAUACCCAACAAUGUGCAAAAACAACCCCCUGUCGGGUAAGCGGUUUAAGUAACAACCUCUUAGAGAAACACUUACUAUCUUAUGUUACUUACUGCAAUGGCCUGAGUCGGUUAAUUGAAAGUGUUUGUGUUAGUUCCCUGAUUUAUGCCGAAUUAACGAGAUUUUUUUGUCUAAUGCAUUUGCAGCUGUGAAAAUCUUUCAACUCAUAGCAGAAGCAAAGCAAAGUCUUUGACUGUAUCUUCUCCCUUCAUCUUCAGAAGUGAUGAAAGAGCAGAGAAGAGGAAAGAGGUAGAACUAAAGAAUACCCCCUUAAUUUAUCUUUCAGAUCAGAGGACUUAUAGAGCCAUAGUUAAUGAAGUGUUGUGGCUGUGUCUUCUUGUCUGUUAGUUCUUCAAGAAGGUAGAAGAAAAGAACAAGAAAGAGGAAACUGGAAAAGAUAAAUUUUCUUGCGGCUUCAAGGCAAAUCAAAACACUCACUUAGCAUCUGAAGAACACAAGAAGAACCCACAAGUUGGUGGUUUUCAGGUAUAGUAAAGAUCUAACUAUCAGACUGUAACUUCUCACAAAUUUGGGUAUUGAAUCUUGAUGUAUGAUGACAUCAUAAUCAUGUGCAGGUACCACCGAUAACCAUGACUUCACCAAGAUUCCGCAGGAACCAAACUCCAGGAAAAAAGAACAUAAAAACUCCCCAUAAAGCUUCCUCAAUGAAGAUCAUAAACACCAAAAAAGUAGUCAUGGAGAAACAAAAAAGCAGCAAGAUUCAUCCCUCCUCCAAACCACAGACACCAAAAAAAACUCAAGAAAAUAUGUCUCCUAAUAUUCUACAGAACUAAGGUACAUACAUCAGAGACAAACCCGAUCAAUCAUUCCUCUUCUUCAAACCUCUAGUUCAUCGUAAAGAUUCGGCUUUUCGCGUUGAAGCUUCCGAAAGUUUUGUCCUUUCAGCUCGUAAUCUCAUCUCAAGCUUAUGGUAUAGGUAACUAGCCCUUAAUUGAACCACAAGCUUUUAAGGAGCUGUGUAGAAUAGAUAGAACUCUCAAGUCUUCAUACAACUAUGUACUCAAUAGUUCUGUUGUCUCAAUCUUGUAUCAUUUGUCUACAUAGAGAUAUGAAAUAAAGAACACAUUUCAAGGUCUAGUUUUCAAUUCUAAUGGUGCUUUUUCAUUGUUUUCUUUCUUGAUUUAGUAUAUAGACAGAGGAAGAAAUACAAGAAACAUUUGUUUUAAAACGACAUCGUAAUGUGUGAUGUUGUGUUGUUGUGGUGUGGGCCUCUCAUUUCAGAGGUGAGAGAAAAAAUCUUAUCUCUGUGGACUGUGAUUGUGUGAUGUUGUUUCCCUAUCUUCAUCUUCUUCUACUCCAUGCUCUAACCACGUCCUUGUAGAGGAAAAGAAAAAAAAUGGCUGCUUCAUCUUCCUCUUUCACUCUCUGUAAUCACACCACACUUCACACUCUCCCUCAGAGAAAGACCCUUGUCACCAAAACCCAUUUUUCUGUUCCCACAAAAUCAUCAGAAUCUAAUUUCUUUGGCUCCAGACUCACUCACUCGUCGUAUCUCUCCCCAGUCUCUUCCUCUUCUCUCAAAAGCUUAAUCUUUGCCAAGGUACAUUUCACGAAUCUUGCAUUGAUAGAUUGUUUGCUACAAUUGGGUAACAACUAGUUCUGGGAAUUAGCUUCUUUGUUAGACCAAUGUUGUUUGGACAAUUUUAGUUGUGUUCCUAGACAACUUCUGUAGUAAUCUCUGCCAACUUUUUCUUAUAUGUUUUUGCCUUCGAUCCCAAGAUAUACAUGGAAAAAUUGAGUAUUUUGGGUCUGAAUUUGAAUGUUAUGAUGAUAGAUUCAUGAAUGUGUUAGUGCAGAACCAAAGACAAAAUCAAAGAAAAUUGCAAUCAGUGUUUGUUUUAGAGACCAUAAACUUUCACAUACCUCAAAGAAAAUGCUAGAAUGCUCUUGAAAUAUUCAAUCCUCUAUUAGAUUAUCUCUGAACUCUCUUUAACCUUCUUUGAAUUGUUCUUUUUUGUGAUGCUUUGUGGGCAGCAGGUUAACAAGGGUCAGGCUGCACCAGACUUCACACUCAAGGAUCAGAACGGAAAGCCGGUGAGCCUCAAGAAGUAUAAAGGGAAGCCUGUUGUUCUCUACUUCUACCCUGCAGAUGAAAGCCCUGGCUGCACCAAACAGGUCUUUCAUUUUUACUCUCUUCUCUUUUCUGCAUUCAUCGCGCGUAUUUAGUGUUGUUAAACGUAAAUGGUUUUAUUUUUAUACGACAGGCUUGUGCUUUCAGAGACUCUUAUGAGAAAUUCAAGAAAGCCGGUGCAGAGGUCAUUGGGAUUAGUGGUGAUGACUCUGCUUCUCACAAGGUACACACAUCAUAAGCUGAUUUCUGAAUAAAAAACCGAUGUUGUUUUACGGGUUUUAAAGAGGGUUUGGGACUUCAAACAUUGUUGCAGGCGUUUGCAAGCAAAUACAAGCUGCCGUAUACAUUGUUAAGCGACGAAGGGAAUAAGGUGAGAAAAGAUUGGGGAGUACCAGGAGACUUGUUUGGGGCAUUGCCAGGGAGACAAACUUACGUCCUUGACAAAAACGGUGUUGUUCAGCUCAUCUACAACAACCAGUUCCAGCCUGAGAAACACAUUGACGAGACCUUGAAGUUUCUUAAAGCUGCUUGAUCAUUCUCUCUUUCUCUUUCUUCGUCCUUAAUGCAUGUCUCAUGUCUGGCUCCAUGACCUUCCCAUACUGUUUCUGUUGAUUAUGAAUUUUCAAUAAUACCAUGCUAUACUAAUGAGAAGUGAGUUGGCUUUGGUCUGGUAAAAAGAUCACAACGGGAUAAGUAUUGAAGAGUGGUUAAAAUGUUGGUCAGAGUUGGAUUGGCAAAGAAUGUUGUUUCAUUUAUAUGGCUUGAAUGUUUGCUCACUUCAAAAUCUUGCUCACCAUUGACGUUGAAGAAAGAAGCUUUUGAAAGAAAAAAUGAAGACAAGAAAGAGGCAAAAGCUUUGAAGACAACUAAUUCGGUAAACAAAGAAUCUCAACCUUGUGAAUGUUGAGAUCAUCUUUUUUACGGAACAUCAUUAACAGUUUAUCUUCUUGAACCUCUAUAUCAUCGUAAAGAUUGGGCUUUUCACGUUGAAGAUUUCGAAAGUUUUGCUCUCUCAGCUUGUUAUCUCAUCAAGCUUAUGAUAUAGGUAACUCGAGCCCUUGAUUAGAAUUGUAAAACACAAAGCUUUCUUGAUUUUAACUAUAGAGAUUGGAACUCACGUCUCAACCUUGUAUCAUUUGUAUAUACAUUGGAACUAUGUAAAACAUCAAAACAAUUCGGCCUCUAAUAUUUGAAAUUUAAAACGGUUAUUUCUUCUCAUUGUGUUUCUUUCUUGAUUUGAGUAUAGACAGGAAUAAAGGUAGAUCCUUUGGAUUAUAUGAAGAAUAUGGCAAACCUCUGAUUUUUUCACAUUUGUAUCAAACGACGACGUAAUGAGUCAGAAACACCGAGGGCCUCUCGUUUCAUGAGAGAGAGAAAAAAAAUCUUAUCUUUGUGACAGCGGUGGUGGUGUGUGAUGUUGUCAGCCAUGGCAAAGACAGAGCAACAACGAUCUCUCUCUUUUCCCUUCUUCUGUGUCUGUCUUUAAAUAGAGUCUCUUUGAAACGAAGCAGCUUUGUCCUGUUUUGAUAUCCAUGGCUUUACCUUCGUGCUUAAAGACUGGAGUUUUAAUGUCUCCGGCCACUGGAAUUAAUUUUUCCGGCAGUCUUAUGAAGUUGGACAGUGGCUUUGCCGUUCCGACAAAGUUACAGAGUAAUCGAAAAGGUGAUCGAGAAAGAUUGAGAAUCCAAGCUGUCUUCAGUUUCCCUCCUGCGUUUCUGACAAGAAACGGUCGAGCUGAGAAGCAGAAACAGCUCAAACAAGAACUUCUUGAAGCCAUUGAGCCUCUUGAACGCGGUGCUAUGGCCUCGCCUGAUGACCAGCUUCGGAUUGAUCAGGUUCUUGAUUUCUCUUCCUUUAGGAACCAUUAGGGUCUAGAGAAUGUGAUUGAGAGACAAGUCUGAGUGACUUUUGUUUGUAUGGAGACAGUUAGCGCGUAAGGUGGAAGCAGUUAAUCCCACCAAGGAGCCUUUGAAAUCUGAUUUGAUCAAUGGGAAAUGGGAGCUUAUUUAUACAACCUCUGCUUCGAUUUUGCAGGCAAAGGUUAGGGCUUGUGUUGUUAUUGUUGUGUCUAAGUUUGCUUUUUUUUCUUGGCUUGUUGUGUCAUUCUCUUUUAUCUCUUAAACAAUGCAACAGAAACCAAGGUUCUUAAGAUCAAUUACCAACUACCAAUCUAUCAAUGUGGAUACAUUGAAGGUGCAAAACAUGGAGACUUGGCCUUUCUAUAACUCGGUAAUGUUUCAUUGUGGCUUGACUUGGCUCUUAACAAAGGAUAAAGACCAAACUUUUUAUCAUCAAUAUAGCUCUUUGGCGAGUCUUUCCUAUGUAUAAGUAAUAUUCCUUUAGCUGAGUUUGUAAAAGGAGUCUCAUAUAUUAGCAAACUACAAUCUUUUCAUAGGUAACUGGAGACAUAAAACCCCUCAAUUCGAAGAAGGUUGCUGUGAAACUCCAAGUGUUUAAAAUUCUCGGCUUUGUAAGUACACUAAAACUCUUACUGCUAUACGUGUGUGUGUCGAUAAGAGAACCUUACUGAUUCAGACACCAUAUGCUUCAUUUACUGAUUGGUGUGUGCUGUGCAGAUUCCUGUAAAAGCACCUGAUAGUGCACGCGGUGAACUAGAGAUUACCUAUGUGGAUGAGGAACUACGGUCAGUAGUGAAUGCACGUUUUCAUUUCUAUCGAACAAACCUUAAAACCUUAAAACAAUGUUUAUGUUUUGCAGGUUAUCAAGGGGUGACAAAGGCAACUUGUUUAUAUUGAAGAUGUUCGAUCCCACUUAUCGAAUCCCUCUCUGAUCUGUCGAACGAAAAUGGUCCGAGCCAUCCAUCAUACAUGCCUGAUACCCGCUUGUUCUGUCUCUCUUCAUCAUGUAUGUAAUCUAACAUAAAAAUAAUUAAUAAGAGGGAAUAAAAAGAGACGAGCUUUUUUCAUUGUUUCAACUUGUUCAAAUCAAAGAUUCUGAAUCUUGAUUUGGUUGAAUUGUGCUUACUUGAUCAGUUGGCUCCAAUCCUAAACUAUAUGAUACUGAAUCAGUACAAUCACCUUGAAGUUCCUCAAAGCUGCUUAUAUAGUUAUAUCAUUCUCUCUUUCAUGCAUGUCUCAUGUCUGUCUCCAUGACCUUCCUAUAUUGUUUCUGUUGAUUAUGAAUUUUCAAUAACACUAAGUUAAACCAAUUAGAUGUGAAUUGGUUAUGGUCUGGUACAAAGAUCUCAACCGGAUAAGGAUUGAAAAUUGGUUAAAGUGAUGGUCAGAGUUGGUUGGUUCUGUUGAACCAGGAAGAAAGGUAGAGCCUUUGGACAAUUUGAAGAAUCUGGCAAAGCUCUGCUUUUCCACAUUCGUUUCAAACGCCGCCGCCGCCGUUAUGAGUCAGAAACAACGAGGGCCUCUCGUUUAGAAGAAGAGAGAGAAAAACAUCUUAUCUUUGUGACUUUCGGUGGUGUGUGUGAUGUUGUUGUCAGCCAUGGCGAAGAAAGAUCAACGAUCUCUCUCUUUUUCCUUCUUAUGUGUCUAUCUUCGGACUUCGAACAGAGUCUCUCUGAAACGAAGCAGCGACUCUUGAAACUCCAUUGGAAAAACUUUUUGUCCUGUUUUGAUAUUCAUGGCUUUACCUUGGUACUUAAAGACUGGAGUUUUAAUGUCUCCUCCGGCCGCCGGAUUUAGUCUUCCAGGCAGUCUUAUGAAGUUGGACAGUGGCUUUGCCGUUCCGAAAAAGUUACAGAAUAUUCGUAAAGGUGAUCGGGAAAGAUUGAGAAUCCAAGCUGUUUUCAGCUUUCCUCCAAGAAACGGUCAAGCCGAGAAGCGGAAACAGCUCAAACAGGAACUUCUUGAAGCCAUUGAGCCUCUUGAACGUGGUGCCACUGCCACGCCUGAUGAUCAGCUUCGGAUUGAUCAGGUUCUUGAUUUCUCUUCCUGUGGGAACCAUUCUUGAGAACAGUUUUGGAAAACUAGGGUCUAGAGAAUGUGACUGAGAGACUAAUCUUAGUGAUUGUUGUUUUGAGUCGUGACAGUUAGCACGUAAAGUGGAAGCAGUAAACCCAACCAAUGAGCCUCUCAAGUCUGAUUUAAUCAAUGGGAAAUGGGAGCUCAUUUAUACAACAUCUGCUGCGAUUUUGCAAGCAAAGGUUAGAACUUGUGUUGUUGUUGUGUAUAUCUUUUUUCUUUUGCCUUGUUGUGUCAUUUUCUCUGUCUCUUUGACAAUGUAACAGAAACCAAGGUUCUUAAGAUCAAUAACAAACUACCAAUGUAUCAAUAUGGAUACACUAAAGGUGCAAAGAAUGGAGACUUGGCCUUUCUAUAACUCGGUAAUGUUUCAAACCGCUGAAUCCUCUUUUUGUACCAUUUUCACAAGUAGGUUUGCAUUGUGUUAGACCAUAUACAAAGCUCAUUUUUCUGUGAUGUGGAAACCUAUUGAUUGCUAUAAAAUGUUCAAAAUGUACAAAAGUUUGUGACUUUGUCACAUAUAUGUAUGAUCACGUUCCAUUGUGGCAGACUAGGCAAGAACAAAGGACUAUAUGUAUAAUACCAAAAGUAAUAUUCCUUUGGCAGAGUUUGUAAAAUGAGACUCAUAUAUUAUAGCAAACUACAAUGUUUUCCUAGGUAACUGGAGAUUUGACACCCCUCAAUUCGAAGAAGGUUGCUGUGAAACUCCAAGUGUUUAAAAUUCUCGGUUUUGUAAGUAUACCAAAAGUCUUGCUGCUAUAAGAGAACCUCUACAGUAGAAGCUCUACUUAUACACCUUAUAUGCUUCUUUUGCUGAUUAGUGUUUGUUGUGUAGAUUCCUGUAAAAGCACCUGAUAGCGCCCGCGGUGAACUAGAGAUUACUUAUGUGGACGAGGAACUACGGUCAGUAGUGAUUUGAAUGAUAGUUUUCACUCCUAUGGAAGUGACAACCAAAAACGUUUGAAUCUUAAAACAAUGUUCUUUUUUUACAGGAUAUCAAGGGGCAAAGGCAACUUGUUGUUUAUAUUGAAGAUGUUCGAUCCCACUUAUCGAAUCCCUCUCUGAUCGAAAAAAUGGCUCCGAGCCAUCGUACAUACCUUAUACUCUUCAUAUGUAAUCUAACAUAAAAUCUAAUAAGAGAGAAUAAAAAGACAAGCUUUUAUAAACGUUUCAACUUGUUCUGAUCGACAUUGCACAAUAUCAGAUAAAAUGCUCAAAAAUUGAGGAAGCUCAAGGCGAUACUCCAGUAGUCCAGUUUCAAAGGGACUCCAUUGAUGUUGUUUGUUGCUUGCUGCUUCUUGAGAUAAUAAUACAGACAAUUUAGAUCAUCCUUUUCAAAGUUUUGUGACACUAGCAUUUGCAUCUAACUGGUUUGGUUUUAACUCACCAACCUUGCUCGCUAUUAAUAACUUUUUUUUUAUGUUAAUAACCAAGACUUUAAUUUUGAUUUUGACAACUUUUGGUAUUAUGUCACCUAAUUAGAAUUCACUAGUUGUUCUGCUUUAGAAUCUUAACAGAAUCUAAAACUCUUGAAUAAGACUUGAAUACAAAUGUGCAAGUUAAGUAAUUCACCUUUGGAAUCUUAACAAAAUCUAAAACUCAAGCAUACCUCUGAGUUAUGGUAGAUGGUGACAUGGUGUGUAGGGUCAACCACACCUCACUGUACUGAUGAUGUCUGAUGGACCCUCUCUCACACACACAUGCACAUAAUUUUACAUAAUCUUAAUACAUACAAUCUCUGUAUAUAAUAAUAAAUUCUUCUGUCUUCAAAGUUUCAGAACAAGGUUCCUAUCUCUCAUUCAACGGUCAUUAACUCAUUAUUCACUCCAACCCCGCUCCUCUUCUUCUUCUUCCAAACAUGUCUCAGAAGCCAAAGCAUAUGUCUUUAGUUAUGGCUUCACUUGUAACUCUUUAUCUUUUGGCCACUUUAUUAUCUUCAGCAGAGUCCAAGACUUACUGGGGUGAUGUGACAGCUCUCAAAGAGUUGAAAAACUCAGUAGAUGCCAAAUCGAUGCGUCCAGGCUCUUGUCUGAGUACCUGGGACUUCUCCGUCGAUCCCUGCGACAGUGUCUUCAGCGACACAUUCACUUGCGGGCUCCGCUGCGUAUCGGGUCGGGUCACGGAGCUUAGUUUUGACCAGGCCGGUUACUCCGGCUCCCUCUCCUCCUUCUCCUUCAACCUCCCUUAUCUCCACACCCUCGAUCUCUCCGGCAACUACUUCUCCGGUCCACUCCCCGACUCGCUCUCCAAUCUCACUCAUCUCACCCGCCUCGCCCUCUCCGCAAACUCCUUCUCAGGAUCCAUACCCGAUUCUCUCGGGUCGUUGUCGCUUCUCGAGGAGCUCCUCCUCGACGGAAACCGUCUCGACGGCUCUGUUCCGGUGAGUUUCAACGGUCUUUCCAACCUAAAACGGCUAGAGAUCCAGGUCAACAACAUCUCCGGCGAGUUCCCCGAUCUGAACUCACUCAAAAACCUGUAUUUCCUCGACGCUAGCGAUAACCGCAUCUCGGGUCGGAUCCCGUCAUCGUUACCGGAAUCUCUAGUCCAAAUCUCCAUGCGAAACAACCUCAUCCAUGGAACCAUCCCUCAAAGCUUCAAACUUUUCAACUCUCUCCAAGUGAUUGAUCUUACCCACAACAAACUCAGCGGCUCAAUCCCAUCCUUCAUCUUCACUCAUCAGUCUCUACAGCAGCUAACACUGUCCUUCAAUGGCUUCACCUCUUUAGAUUCACCGUACUAUUCCCCCUUGAGUCUCCCCAGCGAGCUCAUAUCCAUCGAUCUCAGCAACAACCGGAUCCAAGGCGUGUUACCUCUGUUCUUGGGUUUAUUACCAAAGCUCUCAGCUUUGUCCUUGGAGAACAACAACUUCUUUGGUAUGAUUCCGACCCAAUAUGUUUGGAAAACCGUAUCGUCCGGAUCCGAGUUCGCCGGGUUUCAGAGACUCUUACUAGGCGGGAAUUUCUUAUUCGGUGUCGUACCGGGUCCUUUGAUGGCCCUCAAGCCUGGCUCAACGAACUUGCAGCUCGCCGGAAACUGCUUCUCGUGGUGUCCGGCGACUUUGUUCUUCUGCCAAGGGCAAGAGCAGAGAUCUCCUACGGAAUGCAGAAAGUUUAGCCGUCUUAUUCCAUGAUCUUCUCGUUUCUUGUUUUAUUACAUUCUCUUUAUCUUUUUUUGUUUCCGCUUUCCAUUAUGGUUGAUCCACAUCGAUAUAUGGGGCAGAGAAAUCAAGAACAAAAUCUAAUGAGAGGGAAAAAGAUAAGAGAUGAGCUUUUGUUAAUAUUUCAACUUGUUCUGAUCUGAUCGACAGUGAAAGCUCAGAACUUUGAAUUGGCAAGAGAAAUCAGAAAAGGACUCACCAUGUCCCUCUGUUUAUUCUAGAUCACAAUAAAAAAAUUUGUUUUUUUUUCCAUCUUUCUUGGUGUGUGUUCAAACGACGCCGUCCGAAGCUGGUGCGACACAGACCUCUCGUUUCGGAUGGGUUUCAUCGCUCUGCAAUCUUGGAGCAGAGGAGCUUCAACUUCUCUUCACCUCCUUCGUCCAGGUAGGUAAGUUCGGUUCCUAAGUCCGUAUAAUCAUAUUAUGUGUAUUCGAUAAUAACUCUUUUUUGGUUGAAUUGUGCUUACUUGAUCAGUUGGCUCCAAUCCUAAGCUAUAUGAUGCUCCACUAGUACAAGCAGUUACUGUAAGAUUCUGCCUCUUCUUGGUCCGAAUAAAAUCUACUAACAGAUAUGAUCUAAUUGUCUGAUUAUUAUAUUCAGGGUUUUAAGUUUGAUGUAAGAGCCUCUUCGAGUCGUAAAUCACUUAAGAAACUCAGAAGAGAGUCUCAACAAGGUAAAGACAUAACCACAAGAAAUGUUACAGAAGAAGAAGUUUCUUCUCCAAGAUUUGAAGAAGCUCAAGUUGAUACUCUAACUUCAAAGGAUUCUACUGGUGCUGUUGUUGUUGCUGCUCCUCGAGACAAAGUGCUUCAGGCGUGUACUGUAACUUCUGGUUUAAUGGCUGCACUAGGUCUGAUCAUCAGAAAGGUGAAUCCUUUUGAAAGUUUUGGUUUUGUUUAUUCUAUCAUUUGCAUCUUACUGAUUUGGUUUCUACUCGCAGGCGUCUCAUGUUGCUUCGACUGAAGGAUUACCAGUUCCUGACUGCUCGAUAGUUGUACCAUGUAACAUCUCUAAAAAUCUGAUUAUGUGGUGUACUAAUCGUUUGAGAGAAUCAUUAAACAAAACUGGAUUUUGUAUUGUCUGAUCUUUCUUGCAGUUGGGUUUGAAACUUGGCAUCUCGGUUUAAUUGCUGGAAUCGUUGUGUUUAUAUCAUCAAGUAGGUUCUUGCUACUGAAAUCUUGGCCAGAUUUUGCUGAUUCUAGUGAAGCAGCAAACCGACAGGUCAAAACAUUACACAUUACAUAGAUUUAUACGAUUCUCUAAACUCCACUUAUCAGCCUUUGGUGUUCACUACUUGCAGAUUCUUACUUCUCUCGAACCUCUAGAUUACCUUGUUGUUGCUAUGUUACCUGGAAUAAGUGAGGUAACAAUUAACAAUCACAAUAAACACACAGAAAGUGUUUCCUUUAAAAAUUUUGGUUCACUGGUUUGUAUCACACAGGAAAUGCUCUUUAGAGGUGCAUUAAUGCCUUUGCUCGGAACCAAUUGGAACGGUAUUGUAGCGGUUGGACUCAUUUUCGGUUUACUUCAUCUUGGGAGUGGAAGAAAGUAUUCUUUUGCAGUUUGGUAAGCCAUUUUUACUGAACAUUAUGGUACCUCAAUGAUGAUGAGAAUCACCAUGAUCAUUUCUCUCAUUGCAUUCACAUGUUCUUGCAUUUCUUUAUCGCAUUUCCGGGAUUUACCUAUUAAGUUCUGUUGCUGUUUCUUGAAAUUUUCAGGGCGUCGAUUGUCGGUAUAAUCUACGGUUAUGCAGCUGUUUUGUCGUCAAGUCUUCUUGUUCCGAUGGCCUCGCACGCGCUCAACAAUUUGGUGGGAGGUCUGUUGUGGCGACAUAGUUCCAAGAUCAAGUCAAUGGAGUGAAACAAACAAAAUUUACAAAGGGGCUGAAUUGAAAAGUAUACAAUUUAAAUGGGUGAUUUUGUCAAAUAUCUAUAGUAGAGGGUGGUUAUUGUAAUUUUUAAGGUUAAUCUACCAACGUCUGACACAAAGGACAAAGUGAAAAUUGGAUCUCUCACAAUUAAUGAAGUGAAAAGUGAAAAACAAAUCAUAAAAUUUCUUGUUUUAUUUCUUAAAUGAAAGUACUGUUCCAUGAAAAUUAUCAAUUAUAAUUGGUUUAAUUAAGUUUUUUUUAAUUACUGUUAAUGUUAUGUAUUACUAAACAUUUUUAAUGAAUUAAUUGAAGAAUAAUGUUACUGGAAAAAGAAGUGUUUUUUUUUUUUUCUGGUCAAAAAAGUCAGACGAGAACAGAGAAACGUGAACAAUGGAGAGACAGAGACGUCUCUUCUCUUCUGCGAAGUGUGAAUUUUUUAAAGUUUCUAUUUUUCUAAAUUCCAAAAUCGAUAAAUCAAGUUUCUUUCUUUUAUUGAAAUUUGCACACUUUACCUUGACAUUAAAGCAACAAGCUUUGGAACAAACAAAAAAUCUCAAAAACCCAGAAAUCGAGUGGGAGAAGAGAGAGAGCUGAUAUGCUACAAUAGAAAUGGCGAGUGGAUGUGCUAUACAUGGUGGUUGUCCCAGCGAUUACGUCGCCGUCGCAAUUUCAGUAAUCUGCUUCUUCGUGUAUGUGUUCCUUCUUCUUCUAUUUGAGCUCGUUUCAUCACUUAAAAAUCCCAUUUUUUCUCUAAGUUGUGAAGAUCUGGAUUUUUCAUUUACUGGGUUUGCUUGUUGACUCUUGACUUGAGUCGUCCUCGACGAAAAAAUCUCGAAUUUUGGGGUUUUGAAUGUUCGUACGAUGUCUCUCUUUGCUGUUUAAUUCUUUGUCUUGUAGGUGUUUGAUGUUAUGCCACAAAGGAUCUGUCUUUUGUUUCGUUUCAGUUUCUUUUGCUGAGAAUUUAGAUGUUUUCAUAUUCUUGAUAGCAAGAUUCAUAUACUUAUGUCCAAAAUCAAUCAAUGAACUUAGAUUUGAAAUUCAAAAGCUUGAUUUGAGUGAAUUAACUUCCAAGUAGCUCAAUUUCUCUACUAGUUGAUUCUAUCUGAUGGAUUUCACUUUGUUUAUUAGGCUUUUAUCGCGCUCGGUCUUACCUUGUUUGAUUCACAAGGCUCCUCGUACUAACAGUAGCAGUUUCUGGAUCCCUGUUAUUCAAGUUAUCGCCAGCUUCAACCUUCUGUUCUCAAUUAUGGUUAAGACUACUUCCAUUGCUCUUAAGAAUCACUUCAUUUGUUGAGUUUCUACACUAAUAUUUCCUUAAUGUUUAAUUUUUCAGAUGUCAGUUAAUUUACUUCGAUUCAGGACGAAACAUUGGUGGCGAUAUUGCUAUCUUUGGGCAGGUUUGUUUGGAAACCAUGAUUACUCAUCUUCGUAAACAAAUCGAUAGUUAGAUCAAUAAGUCUUGUAUAAUUUAAUCAAUGUAAUGUUUGGUUUCAGUGUGGAUUGAAGGACCACUUGGAUUUGGUUUGCUGAUGGGCUGCCGUAUAACUCAGGCAUUUCAACUAUACUUCAUAUUUGUCAAGUAAGGUUCAAUUUUGAUCAAAAUGUUUUCAAUUAUCGGGGAUAUUGGAUUCCCAAUUCUGUCUCUAUUGAUAUAAUUGUGUUUCAUGCUGUUUGGUUGCUAUAUAUUCUUUGCAAUGUAGGAAACGUCUACCACCCAUAAAAUCAUACAUUUUCCUCCCCCUUGUUUUGUUGCCAUGGAUCUUCGGAGCUGCAAGUAAGAAUUGUUCUGAACUUUGUAUGUACGGAGCAGUUCUUGGUUUCUCUUGUUUUGGAUAAUAACUCAAAGCUUUUGAAUUUGCAUUCAGUUAUCCACGCAACAAAGCCUCUCAAUGAUAAAUGCCACAUGCGUCUUCAAUGGACUUUCCCAGUUGCAGGCCUUCAUGCUCUCUAUGUCCUUGCUUUAAUUGCAUUCACAAGAGCAGUUCGACAUGUAGAGUUUCGUUUUGAUGAGCUUAGAGAUCUCUGGAAAGGAAUUCUCGUCUCAGCCACUUCAAUCAUUAUAUGGGUAACAGCGUUUGUGUUGAAUGAGAUUCAUGAAGAGAUCUCCUGGCUUCAGGUUGCUUCAAGAUUUGUGCUUCUAGUCACGGUAUGAAGCUAAUACCAGGACUGUUCUUUAUAUUUGUAGUUGGAAAACCUUUUAACAGACUACUGAGUUGAUUCUUCUUUCAGGGUGGGAUUCUCGUCGUUGUCUUCUUUUCCAUCUCGAGUAAUCAACCUCUUCUUUCACAAAUCAGCUUGAAGAAAAGAGAACACUUUGAGUUUCAAAGAAUGGGUCAAGCUCUAGGCAUUCCCGAUAGCGGCUUAUUAUUCCGAAAGGAGGAAUAUCGACCUGUUGAUCCAAACGAACCACUCGAUAAGCUUCUUCUCAAUAAAAGAUUUCGCCAAUCGUUUAUGGAAUUUGCUGAUAGGUACUCUAUUUGACGACUGACCUCAUUUUUAUCCCGGUUUCGCCAUUUAUUUAAAGUGAAUCGUUAUAUGAUGUUAGCUGCUAUGCUGGAGAAACAUUGCAUUUUUUUGAAGAAGUGUAUGAACAUGGAAAAAUCCCGGUAGAUGAUUCGAUAAGAAGAAUCUACAUGGCUCGACAUAUCAUGGAGAAGUUCAUUGUCUCAGGUUUAUUAUUUACCCAUCUUCUUUCUUCGUCGUAAACCCGUCUCAGGUGUUCUCUCUAUAAAUCUAACUAGUAAUUCCUUAAAUGCAGGAGCGGAAAUGGAAGUAAACUUAUCUCAUAAAACCCGACAAGAGAUCUUAACCACUCAAGAUCUAACUCACUCUGAUCUAUUCAAGAACGCAUUAAACGAAGUGAUGCAAUUGAUCAAGAUGGUAAAAUAACAUGUCUCUUUCACUCUCUUACGCCUUCAAGAAGCUUAAUUCUCUUGAUUCUCAUUUUCUAUGCGCUCAUUUUUGUAAUGAAUUUGAAGAACUUGGUGAGAGAUUACUGGACAUCAAUAUACUUCAUCAAGUUCAAAGAAGAAGAAAGCUGCGACGAGGCAAUGCAAAAGGAAGGAUGGAGUUUUUCGUCUCCAAGACUGAGUUCAGUUCAAGGCUCUGAUGAUCCUUUCUAUCAAGAACAUAUGUCAAAGAGUUCCAGAUGCAGUAGUCCCGGUUAAGGAGUCUAAACCGGUACUAGACCAGAACGAAAAACCAAUGUUCAUAGCAAUCCAAUCCAUAUAAUCUUCUUCACAUUUCUUGUACAUGUCCUCUUCUUACUCUUUUUAUUAUACCAAACUGUAAGAGAAAGUGUAUGGUUCGGAUUUGUAUACAGGAAGAUAAAAACUAUGGAACCAUACUAAUUAAUUUCUGGGAAAUUUUUUUACGUACAUUACAACCUCUAUAAAUUAAUACGCGAUAAACUAAUUUUUUAUAAAUUAAUAAAAAAUUUAGGUCUCGAAUUGGGAUCAUUGUAAAAAAUAACAUAAAUCGAUAAAAUAAUAAAAUAAUAACUUUUUUGAAAAUCAUACGUAAACAUGAUCUCAAUUCUCAUCAAUAACAUAAAUUAAUAAUUUUAUAAACUUAUAAAUAUAUAUGUAUAUAUAUAUAUAUAUUAUAUGUAAAAGUAUUUAGUGAAAUAUGACUCUAGUGUUGUUUAUUUUUCUUGAAUUUGUAUUAAUUCUUGGUUAAGUUCAUUUCUAAUAUUUUUACUACAUAGAUAUAAGUUUGUGUUGUUUUCUAAACUUAAUACUCCCUCCGUUUCAGUUUAGUUGUCGUUUUAAGAUUUAAAUUUUGUUUCAUAAUAGUUGUCGUUUUAGGUUUUCAAUGCAAAUGUUUGGUGAAAAUCCAGUUUUAUCCCUACAGUUUUAAUGUUUUGGCCAAUGAAAUUUUUUAUAAAAUAUAUUAAUAAAGUGUAAAACAGAAAAUUUAAUGCUUUCUUAAUUUGUGUGAAAAAACCUUAAACGACAACUAAAACGAAACGGAGGGAGUACUCCUUUUGUUUCACUAAGAGUGUCAUUGUAAAAUUUUAUUUUUGUUUCACAAAGAGUGUCAUUCUACAAUUUCAAUGUUAUUUUUACACUAAAUUUUCUAAUUUACCCCUUGAGUCAAAGCUACUUUCCACUGACUUUAAAUCAUUAGUUACUUAUUAAAUAAAGGCAUAUAUGUAUAAUACAAUGUUUUUUUAAUUUGUGUGAAAUGUGUCAAAAUGACACUCUUUGGUGAAAAGGAGAGAGUAAUUAAUUUUCUAUUUUAUAAUGAAAAAAACUACUUUUGAGAUUAAAAAAAAAUGUCAAUCUCGUGAGCAAGUGAAGUUGGCGCAUAAGUUGUACCUGGGACCGACGGUCCAUAAUUGGUACGAUCGAUCGGUCCACCUUCAAAUGAGAUUUUAAAGUUUUAAGAACGACGCAUAAUAUGAUCCAUGUUUAAUUAUCUGAUUUAUGCUUUCAUGAAUCCUUGAGAUUUUCAUGUGUCCAAUGUUUUUUUUAUCUCCUUAUUGCUUUUUUUUUUCUUUUACUUAAUUUAUUGAAAACAAUAAAACUUUCAUUUUGUAUUAGCACUUUUACAAAAUUUGUAAUGUUUUUUUUUUGGUUUUUGUGGAUUCGAUCCUAAUUAAAGUGUUACACUAUAUUACCCCUAAAGUUUUUAAUGAUGCGUUAAUCACUAUAUUUUAUAAUAAUUAGUAGAAUAUUUUAAAAUAUCACCAAAAUAAACUAUAUAUUAAAUAUUAGUGUACUUUUUAGAGUAAAUAUAAUAAAUGUCUUAAUAUAUCUUUAAAAAUUAAUUUGAAGUAUUUUAUGUGAUAAGAAUAUUAAAUUUUGUUUUUAAUUUUUGUAAAAUAGUUAUUUUAAUACUUUUAGCUAUUUUUGUUGGUUUUGUAUAUCUACGGAUAUUAUCUAAAUAUUUCAACAUUUCGGAUAAUUUGAUCCGGUGGAGAUAAAAUAGAACCAUUUUCUACUACACAAUGGAAAGUUGAAAGAAAAAGAAAACAAAUUAUAUGUGUAGGUAAAGAGUCUUGUCAGAGAAUGAAAAAAAAAGGUUUAAAUUAAUGUUUCAUUAUUAAUUUAUUAUGGUGAAUCUGUCCCAAAUAUUAGUGGUUCUCAUCUCACAAUAUAUAAAGAUUAAUUCCCAAAGAAGAUUUUUAACAUUAAAACCCUUGUUUAAAAAAUGGCUAGACGUUAGUCGGGCGUUCGGUAUGGAUCUAGCGAUUAAUUGAAAAAUCAGAUUGAAAUUGGGGAUUAAUUGAGGAUUAGUUUUAGGGUUAUUUUAAUAUUUUUAAAACAUAUUAAUCUAAUGUUUUUUUUCAUAAUUGCAGAAAACACAUAAAAUUGUCUUUUUGAGAUAAAUUUUAUGAUUUUUAUUAAAGUUUGAACAUAAGUUAUUAUAAAACAUCACAAACUCUCAAUUUAAAUGAUUGAAUAACAAAAAUAAAAAGGUUUUUUAUACUUGGAAUCUAAAAAUAAUCCGGAUAUAUAAAAUUAGGCGGAGAGUUAUCGGAUUAGGCGGAAAGUAAUCGGAUUAGGCGGAGAAUAAUCGGAAAACUGAUUUCUUUAGGGGAUUAGUCAUUAAUCGAGACAGAUAGAAUAGACCUAGUGAUUAAGCGGAGAGUAAUUGGACUAAACGGAGAUUUUUAGAACAGGGAUUAAAACCAAAAUAAAUAAAUAAAUUUUGCUGAAAGGUUUGGUCAAAUAUAUAUGGCAAUUAUUGGGUGUUGUCGCUUGCAACUCCUGAUGAUGUUGUUCCCAAGAUAGUUUAUAAAAUUGAAGAGAAACUUUAUCAUUUUAUCUUUCACCUAAUUAUAUAAUUUCAAUAUAUUUUUUUUUUGGUUUUUAUCAUGUGGGAAAUUCUCUAAAUAAAAAUUACAUAUGUUUUAUGUUCCAAAACUAUCAUACAUUUAAAUUUUCGAAAAUGCUACAAACUUCUAUAAAAAAAAAAAGAGGUUUCCACCCAAAAUUUUUCUUAGAUCAUGUGAUUUAUCUGGAAGGUCCGUAACUCAAAGGUUUUUGAGAACAAGGACACCCAUCCUGCCGACACGUUUUAGCUUGCCUCGAAUGAAGCAGAAUCUUUUCGAGUAGCACGAGCACGCGAAACGAUCGCAAUCCCCAAGUAUCCCAUCGUUCCACAAAGCCAGUCCCAGCCGACUCUCGAGUUCGCCAGGUAGAUGGGUCUUGGGUGGAUAUUUUCACUCUAAGUGGUAUUGGUUGGAUUGUUAGAGCAGAUCAAAAUAUGAUUCAUUUGGGUUUAAAGAGCUUUCGUAAAUAUUUAUCCCCGCUUCUCGCAGAGUUUGAGUCUCUCCUUUGAGCAAUGAGAUCUCUUAUUUCACUUUCUAUAUUUGACGUUGCUUUUGAGACAUAUUGCAUAGAGUUAACUCAGGGUUUAGACACUCCCGAUGAGUGGCCUGCUUUUUCGUCAGAGUUAGAAGAUUUUAGUUCUUUGAAAUUAUUUUUUCCCUUUUAGUUUAUCUUUUAUUCCACGUUGUAACAAUACCGUACUGACUGCCUUGCAAAGAAUGCACGAACACGUAGUGCUAUCUUUUCCCAUAUAAGCUCUGUAACUCCAUAUUGAUUUUCUUCAGAAGAAAACCGUUCAAUUUUAACUUGAAUGAAUGAACUAUUGUUGCUGUAAACAAAAAUUAAAAAAAAAGGUUUUAGAGAGUUCGCAAAUAGCCCUUAAAAUGUUUAUUUCCUUUAAUUUUCUGUUUUGAUUAUUAUUUCUACUUGAGAAAAUACCAAAAUGUCAUUAGCAAAACUAUAUAUAUAUAUAUAUGUAUAUAUAUAUAUAUAUAUGUAUAUACUAUAGAUAUAUACCACAAUGCACGUUUAAUAUUCUUGUAGAUAAAGCCACCACUUCCACUUUAUAUUAGCCAGGUUGGUAUUGCUUCUAAGCAUAAAGAAUAAGUUUAUAAGGUUACCGUAGAAUGAGCUGGACAGUUUAUUUUUCACCCUCAUACCAAAAGAUAACUUUAACACAAAACUAACAUCUUCCACUCUCAUGUUUCGAUUAGUUGCGGUGAUUAAGGCGGACAAAUCUGUUUGCGGUUUAAACCACUUUUUUAUUAUCAUUCAUAAACUAUAAUAUGGAAUAGUAUAAAUUAUAAAAAUUAUACCAAAUCAACAACAAACGUAUGAUGGACCGUUUUACGUAGAAAUAAACAUAAUCUGCGACGAUUUAUUGUCCGUUUUGAAAAAUAUUACUUCCUUUGUCCCAAUAUAUAAGAUAUUUUAGACUUUUUUAUUUGUUCCAUUAUAUAAGAUUGUCUCUAACUUCAAUGCAUAAUUUAUAUUAGUUUAAUAGUUUUUAAUUAUUUUAAUUAUGCAAUAUCUUCUUCUAUAGGUUGAAUUUUCAUAAAUGAAAAAACAUUUAUUAUUUCUUAAUUUCUGUGUUUUUACUCCAAACAUCUAAUCUACUUAACAUUUUUGAAGUACAAAUUUGCUCAAAGCCAAUCGGGUCGGGUUUUUUAAAAGAUUUUGACCCGAUUAGAUUUUUGGAUCCGACUCACUGGCCAAUCAAAACUCUCGGAUUCUUUUAAAUGCGACUUUCCAAAAAAAAAAUCAACUAAUUCGACUAAAUAUCCUCUUAAUUACAUUCCUAAUCUAACAAAUCCUAACAAUGGAAUCUCUUCCACAAAUUUUGACUAUUAUUAUGUAUAAUCUAUUUUGGUAAGAUUUUUUCUACAAUAAUUACAACAUUAAUUAUACGAUUAUAACAACUAAACAUGGAAUCCUAACAAUAUACUUUAAUUUCUGACGAUUUGUUUAUCUCAUUGUAUCCCAUUUAUAUGCUAAAUAUAUUCUACAAAUCUAUUCAGUUUCCUAAUAAAAUUGAACAAUAUAAUGUCUACAUUCAAUAUACACAACAUCAAUUGGAAAUGUCUAAUAAAUCAAACUAUUUGUUCUUAAUUUUGACGAAUUAUCUAUAAAGCAUAUUCUAUAUAUUAUUGAAUCAAAGAUUUGUAAAGAUAUUCUAUACUUUCUCAACACGAAUUUCUUAAAUUCUCUAACCUAAACGCCAAGAGACUAUGACAUCUAUAAAUAUGUUUUCGCUAACAGAGAAUUACACAUCAGCACAAAGUUUACCUUUUAACACGAUAAGAUAAGCAUUUCCAGAAAUCAAUGGUUGCUUCAUUUUCCAAUCUCAGAGAUUUGACAUUUGAGACCUUACAAAGCCGCAUGGUGCGUCCAAGUUUAAGAACCUGCAUUCAUGGACAAUAUACUGUCAAAAAAAGGGAGACACUUGAUAUGGUCUAGACUGAUGAGAAAGUAAGUUUCCAUGUACUAAGAUUUGAUUCUAAACCUUUUUCUUAUCAACUAACUUGAUAUGUUGCAUGUCUUAGGAAGCAAAGUAUUUUCUGGUCGAAUCUAAGAAUAUAGAGGUAAGAGUUCGUAUAUCCUACUCUUUCAAACAUUCUAAAUGGUUCUUAAUAAGUAGGAAAUCUUAACUUGAUGACCAGCUUUAAUGCUGGUAGAAAAAUAUUUUUAUCUACCACGUUUAAUAGUUUCCACUUUCCAGUGGAUGAAAAUCUUUACAUUCCAGAGGUGGAAGAAUUCAAAACAAUGUAAGCAUCUGCACUAGAGGUUUGACUUAUUUGUAUCUCCAAUUAAACUAAUUUAGUUUGUCUCUUGAUUCUAAUUUGCAGGCUCCAAAGCAAAAAACUAUCAAGAAGACUGAUUGAAAAAAAAGAAAUCAAAGAGAGAAGAUCAAAAACGGUAGUAAAACCGUAGAUAAAACGAAAAAAUCGAUAAAGAAACCUUUUAGGAAUGAUUGAUGAUGAUACGAGAAGCCAUUUUUGUGCAAUCGGAGCUGCUUUAGCCAAUCCCAAUUCGCAACUGCAAAUGAAAACAAAAAUGGUAGGAAUUUCGUUAGGGUUUUUCUCCUUCCUUUUCCUUAGAUUUCUUCUUGUCGAAGAGUGGACUGUUUUGUUUGUAACAUUGUUGAUAUGGCUUGCAUUGAACCCAAGUUAGGUCACUUCCCGUGUCAGCGAUGGCAAGGACUUUCGACGGAGGAGUACCGAUUGAGAUACUCAUCAAGUAUUCGCCGCCAUUUGAAAUCAACCCGGAUUGGAGGUCGGUUUUGGUAUUGAAACGGCGAGAGCGUGAGAUUGAGCGGAGGAAAGUAGCGUUGAGACCGUCGGAGACGGUGUGGUGAGGGUUGUAAAGUGGAGAAUGAGGAGAGUCACGGUGGAUUAGCUCAACGGUUAGGUUUUCCCUGUUAGCUGAAGAAGUUGAAGCGAAGAAGAUGGUUUUUGAUUAUGGAAUUGUCGAAUUAUCCUCAAUUCAAUUUUGAAACAGUAAAUCUGUGGAUGUAAGAUAUAAUCCGAUCUAGAACUCACCAAUCGUUGAAGAAAAACAGAAAAUCGCAGUGUACAAGUGAAGGAUCACUUCGAAGAAGCUGGGAUUCAAUGAUGAACACGACCGAGAGAAAGAGUCAAAGAGACGAAGAUAAUUUGUUUGAUUGAUUAUGUUUUUAGAAUUGACAAAAUGCCUUACAUGUACCAGAUUGUGUCGUCUCAACAUAUUGUACCAACACCAUUUUAUACUGCCGGUUAAAUCGCCUCCAACGAACUCUCCGCCACCGUCAAAGAUAGCGUCUUCCUCCAUCUCUCUCUCGGAAAUAACCAUUAAAAAACAAGGGUCAUGACGAUUGCCAAACGCAUCGUUUAGUAUUUGUUGGGCUACGCUUUGUGAUUUACAUGGGCCACUUCCCACUUUCCCAUUUCUAUUGUAAAUACUAAAUACAAGAUUUGCAUAUUAAAAAUCCUAUAUAUUCAUUUCUAUGGUAAAUGCAAAUCGAAAAACCCUAUAUAUUCACUUCAACUGACAUUCCAACUUCAAUAAGGUUUUUUAUUUAUUUUUAAUUAUUUAAAAAUUAUAAUUAAAAUGUGGCAUAAUAUUAUUAUUUAAAUAUUUAUAUAUAUAGUUAUAAUUUUAUAAUAUGUUUUAAUAUCGGUGGUAUAUUAAUUUUACGGGUUGGUCCAAAAAUACAUACUAAUUUAAAUAUAUAUAUAUAUAUAUAUAUAUAUAUAUAUAUAUAUAUAUAUAUAUAUAUAUAUAUAUAUAUAUAUAUUAUGGAAACCAUUUGAAAGCAAACUUUUAAAUUGAGUCGAAUUAUAUGUCUUUUAAAUAAAAAUAUUAUUAAAAAAAUAACAAAAUGAUGUUUAAUUUCACAGGACGGGAUUAUAUGGUGAGACGGGUUUGGGUCGAUAUUAAUAGGAGACAAUAUACCACGGGUGAAAUCUUAGAAAUAAUAAAUCAAAAUACAAUUAUACAAUCUUAAACACAAAACAAAACAAGUACAAUUUAAAAUUUUUAUUUUUUAGUUACAGCAUAUGUAAUCCGCGGUGUACAAUAAAAAAUAUUCUAUAUAACAAAUUUAUCAGUUUAUAAAUAGAUAAAAAAAUCAUAUAAUUAACCUGCGGUGUACCGCGGGUCAUAUCCUAGUAAAAUGGGAUAGAAAGAGUAUGUUUUAGUCCGCUUUACCCACAUCAUUCAUUCAAACUUUCAAAGCUACACUAUAUCAAAAAAAACUUCAACAUAAAAUGAGCUAAUAUUUUCAAUCUUAUAUAUUUUAAUCUUAAUAAGCUCAUUCUCUCUGGUUUUAAUUCUACUUACGGUCACGGAUUUUCGCUAUAACGUAACCUUACCAUCUAGACAUGAAUACUCAAACUGGAAUGAAUUUAACAAAUUUUACUCCUAUUUUCAGAGAAAAUAAUAAUAAACAUGAAAAAGUAUGGGGAUGUCAUCAUAGUGGAUAACUAUGUCAGGACUCAUGAGUAAUAAUCAAUUUUUUUUUCUCAACUUAAUAAACUAUAAAAGAUCCGUUGGAUGGAUAGAUAACUUGUUCUACCACUCAAACCAAGUUUUGGAUGCACACGUCUACAUACACAUGCAUACAUGCUUGAAUCAUCAUGAUAUUAUACUCCAUUACAAUCAAAACAUAUAUGUGACAUAUCACAUAUACAUACACAUCCACAUCCACAAACUAUCAGAAUUUAAGUCCGCAUAAAGAGACACCGCAACUUUCUUUCUUCUUCAUUCACUUCUCUCAACGCCAAAUUUGCAGACUUUCCCAGGACGAAAACUAAAAAAGAUCCUUUUUUUUUCUUAACAGUCAAUUCUCUAACAAAACAUUCUCCCAUCAUUCUUUCCAUCUUCUAUGCUCUGAUCAGAAAACAGAACACAAGACAAAGAAACUCACUUUAGCUUUGUCUUUAAAUUCUGAUGUUCGAAUUAUUGUUGUUGAUGAUGAAUCUGAUGAUGAAUUGAUGAUGAUGAUUGUUUGAUGCAGAUGGGUUUUAAGAAUUUUCAACCUUUUUCUUAAAAAGUAAUCAUUUUUAUCCAUUUUUCAAGUUUCUGUUGAAUUCUGUGAUUUUGUCUCUGAUUGUGAAUCUGGGUAAUGAUCAAACUGUGAUAUUAGUUAACAUUUUCCCAAAAUUGAUUGAUCUCUCUGAUGGGUUUGUUUGGUCAAUCUGAAUUGAUUUCUGGGUUUCUUGUUCUGAUCAUGGUUUGGUCAAAACUUUGAGUUUCCGUGUGCAGAGGAGAAGGAGAAGUCCUUUGCGUGUGACAAACAGUUUUCUUAUUAUCUUCCGUAUCAGAUCCAAUCUUUCUUUAAGAUUCCUUUUUUCACCUUUGUGUCCUUUAUAGAAUAAUCAUUGUUGAUUCCUACUCUUCUCUUCCAAGUUUUCUUCUUUCAUUCUUGGUUGAUUUGAUUUGAUUGAUUCACAGAUUCUUUCUUUGUUCUUGAUUUGUUAAAAAGGUUUCAACUUUUCUGGUUAUUGAUUAUGAUUUGGAUCCUUACUAGUUUCUGUAGAUCAAAAAGCUUAAAACUUGUUCAGAAAUACUAGAGACAACAGAAUUUGCAGGUAACUUUAUGGGGAUCUUGUUCUGUGUGUUUUCUCAUCUUUCAGGCAAAUCAGAGUGUGACUUUGUCUUAAUUUGUGAUUUGUAGAUAAUCUUGUGUUUAUAAUGGAUGCUACAACUAGUGGAACUCCGGGAUUACAGUAUCUUAACUUACCGGAGCAACCGGUUCCGACUGCUUCUCCUCCUGUGUCACCAUUUCAGAGGCCAAAACGACAUUGCUUUGGUGACUCAACUCCUGGAGAGUUUCCUUUAGCAGCUAAUCCGUCCAUUGUCCUUCAUGUUCUCACUGAAUGUAGAUUGGAUCCUCGUGACCUCGCUAAUCUCGAGGUUUUGUUUCGAAAAAUGUCGGAAAUGUGUACUGAUAUUUCGAGGAUUGAUUGUUCUGCUGAUUUGAUUGUUGUUGUUGUUGUUGUAGGCAACAUGCUCGUUCUUUAGCCAGCCAGCAAACUUUGCCCCGGACAUUAAUCUAUCACUAUCGGAGCUCGCUGCUCUCGACAUGUGUAAUAAAAGGGUGAUUUUCAAGCCGAUGAAUGAAGAAGAACGUCAAGAGAUGAAACGUAGAUGCGGUGGAUCGUGGAAAUUGGUCCUUCGGUUUUUGCUGGCUGGUGAAGCGUGUUGUCGAAGAGAGAAAUCUCAAGCAGUUGCUGGUCCUGGUCAUAGUAUCGCAGUCACAUCAAAAGGCGAAGUUUAUACUUUCGGAUAUAAUAACUCUGGACAGCUAGGACAUGGUCAUACUGAGGAACAAGCUCGAAUUCAACCUGUUAGGUCAUUUUCAUCAUCAUCAAGAUCUGAACAGAGAAGAAAAUAUAUGCUCUUGGGUUGAUGGAGUGUUAUCGUGCUGUGCAGAUCAUUGCAGGGAAUUCGAAUCAUCCAAGCAGCUGCUGGUGCUGCUCGGACAAUGCUAAUAAGCGAUGACGGAAAAGUUUAUGCGUGCGGAAAAGAAUCAUUUGGGGAAGCUGAAUACGGAGGGCAAGGGACUCAACCAGUUACAACUCCUCAGCUUGUAACAUCUUUAAAGAACAUAUUUGUUGUGCAAGCGGCUAUCGGAAAUUACUUUACCGCUGUGCUCUCCCGAGAAGGAAAGGUUUAUACAUUCUCGUGGGGCAACGACGGUAGACUAGGACACCAAACCGAGGCUGCGGAUGUUGAGCCCCGUCCUUUGUUAGGCCCACUCGAGAAUGUACCCGUUGUGCAGAUUGCUGCUGGUUAUUGCUACCUUCUUGCCUUAGCUUGUCAACCAAAUGGAAUGUGAGUUCCUUUUUAACACUUUCGACGGGUUCAACAAUAUUAUAGGUUACAACAAAUGUAGUCAUAUUUGUAUGGUUAAAUUCUUUUGACAAAAAUAAUUUGGAUCCUAAAUUUUUUGCUAUGUUUCUAUGGGUCAUGUGCAAUAGCACAUUAUGUAAAUGCCCAACACCGGCACUGAUGCGGUAGCAUGCUUAUUUUAGGUCUGUUUACUCGGUUGGUUGCGGUUUGGGAGGCAAACUUGGUCAUGGGUCAAGAACGGAUGAGAAGUAUCCUCGGGUUAUCGAGCAGUUUAAGAUAUUGAAUCUUCAACCUAGGGUAGUUGCAGCGGGUGCUUGGCAUGCUGCGGUGGUAGGUCAGGACGGAAGAGUGUGCACUUGGGGUUGGGGAAGAUACGGAUGUUUAGGGCACGGUAACGAGGAGUGUGAAUCAGUCCCUAAGGUUGUAGAAGGGCUAAACCAUGUCAAGGCGGUUCAUGUCGCAACAGGCGAUUACACUACUUUUGUGGUCUCAGACGAUGGUGAUGUUUAUUCGUUUGGUUGCGGCGAAUCCGCUAGCCUCGGUCACCAUCCCUCCUUUGAUGAACAGGUUAGCGAUUGACUAUGGCCUCUAUUGUUUCUUUUGCUUACGUUAUAUGUUAUAAACUUAUAAUGUGUUUUUUUUUGUCAAAUAUCCACAGAUUUUAGCGUUUUAAUCAUACAUUUGAUAUAAAAACAAAAAAUGUUGUGUUUAAAAGAAUGUGAGAAACGUAUUUUAGCUUAUAAAUACAAACGCAAAUGAAAACUCGAAUCCUUUAUGUCAUUUGAGUCGUAUGUUUGGUUUGAUUUUGGUCCUUUUUUUGCAGGGUAAUCGACAUGCAAACGUGCUAAGUCCAGCGGUAGUAACAUCGCUGAAACAAGCGAACGAGCGGGUGGUUCAGAUUAGUCUAACGAACUCUAUAUAUUGGAACGCUCAUACGUUUGCGCUCACGGAAUCGGGGAAGCUAUAUGCGUUUGGUGCAGGCGAUCAGGGUCAGCUUGGAGCAGAGCUUGAUAGGAACCGAAAAGAAAGGUGUGUACCGGAAAAAGUGGAUAUCGAUCUCAGCUAGUGAACUUAGUGGUCUAGUUGGCAAGAACUGCGAUUGACAUCAAGCAAAAAAAACGCAAGAAAAAUUGCGUUUGCUAUUUAUGUUCAUAAGACUUGGAAGCUUGUACAUAAAGUUAAGGAACUUGUCUUUAACAUUUCAUUGUAUAGGUUUUAGAUUAUUCUAAUUGUUCAUUGUUCAAGUUUUAGGUUAUGUUGUUAAUAAUUGUCAAAUAAUUUCAUUAAAUCAAUUAAUUGUCAGAUUCAAUUUCUAUUUCAUUUGUAUAAGAAGCCUAAAAGGCUAAAACCCCAAAAAAAUCCCAAAAUAUCUUUUUUUUUUUUCUUCUGAUUUGGUUUGAGAUCACUAAAAGUACCUUCUUUUUUUUUUCCAUUAUUGUUUGGUUUACAUUAGAGUACUAAAUUUUGAUUUCAGAAAAAUCUAAAGAAUCCUAUGUAUCAAAUUGUUUUUGCUAUAUUUGAUAGGAUUACAAGAAGCUUAAUUAGGAGUAGAAGAUAUAUGUAACUUGCAUAUUUCCUCAGCCGUUAAUAUUUUUGGCAAAACCUCAAAUUGCGUUACGUUAUCUUUGGACUUUGAUCAAACAACUAUAUAAGCAAAGAGUCUCAUUACACAAUUCAAGAAAAUAAUAAAUAAAGGAAAAUACCCAUAAAACAUUUUUAAAAAAAAGUUUUUUGGGCAUUACUAAUAAAAUAAAUUUAAAAUAAUGGCGCGUCUUCACGUAGCUCUCCUCCUCCUCUUCAUCGCUAUCUCCGCCGUGAUUGUAUCACCUGCUGAUAAUGAUAAACCACCGUCAACCACCACCGCCUCAGCUCCCACCGCUACAACUCCGACCGAUGGCAUUGGAGGUGAUGUAGUAGAAGGUCCAGCUGAUGACAAUGCUAUUGGAACAACUGACAACGACGAUGCAGCUGUUACUCCAGAUGAUGCUGCCGGAGAUGAUGAAGUGGCAGUCGCCGGACCUAUUGGAAGCGAUUCUUCGUACGCUAACUAUCCGCCACCUCAACAAGAAGCUUCCGGAAGCGGUGCCACCGUAGCUUUUGGCUUUGUCUCUGUUGUUGGUGCAAUGGCUGGAUCGCUCUUCUUUUUCUAGAGCUGUGAUCGGCGCGUAAAAAUAAUAUUUUGUAAUGAAUGUUUGAAAUAUUUUCUUGUAGAUGUAUAAAGUAUUUUGACUAUCCCUUCUUCGAUGUAACAUCGAUUAAAUUGGGAUGAUACAUCUUUUACAUGAUUACAAGAUGAUUUUUUUUUUUUUGUGCAUCUAUAAAUUUACAAAAUAGCACCCUCAAAUAGCCCACAAGAGAUGGGCCGUACUUUUUCACAGGCCUAGCCCACCAACGUGUGAGUUAGCGCGUGUCAUUCACGAGCAUAAAACCUGCGAACCAGACGCGCGUGGAUGCAUUUCUCCAUAUCUUCUCGUUCGUUAGCCGAUAGAAGAAUUUUGCGGAGAAGCGUCAAUGAAAGUCCAACGGUCAACUUUUUUCGCGGUGACCGGAAAAUCGAAUCUUCAUCACUUUCACUCUUCUUCUCAGGUUCUCUAUACUCUUCUCUGCGUCGUCAAAAUAAAUUAAAAAUCGUUCCUUUUGUCACUUCUACGAAUAACCCAUUUGCAAUUUCAGAAAAAAAAUCUGAACUUUUUUUCUGAUUUCAUUGCGUUUUCACUUGAUUCAUUGUGUCUUAAUCGAUUUCAGGGAAUCACCAUUUCCGAGCUUGAUUCACGACAGUUUUUGUCUAAAUUACUUGAGAGAAAAUGGGGAUUACAAAGUCCUGCAACUCCAAUUCAGCAGAUUAGUGUUUCUUCUGUCAAAGGAAUCGAUAAAUUCUCUUUCUUGAACAACACUCGUCCACAUCUCGGAGAUGAAAUGUCGAAGUCAAAGCAAGAUUCGUCUUUUUAUAUUCUUAGAGAUGAUCUUUUACAUCCUCUUGUGAAUGGUAACAAAGCUAGAAAGCUUGAUGCUUUGUUACCACUUCUUGAAGAUCAUAAAGUGACUGAUUUGGUGAGAAUGUGAUCACUUGCAAUAUUUGUCAAUUGGGUUCUUUGGAAAAGGCUUAAAGAUUAGAACUUUUUCUUGUGUAUAGGUUACAUGUGGAGGUUGUCAAAGUGCACAUACAGCUGCAGUUGGUAAAAGUUUGAAUCUUUAGAGAAUUAUAGGUUUUGAUUGCAGUGUGAAUCAGUUAUUUGUAUCUUGCAGCUGUUUCGUGUGCCGAGAGAGGUCUAAGAUCACAUUUGCUACUGCGUGGAGAACAGCCUGAUGUUUUGACUGGUUAUAACCUUGUUUCAACUAUGUAUGGAAAUGUUCAGUAUAUUCCAAGAUCAAGGUAUGCGAAUAGAGAGGAAAUGUUGAGAUCUCAUGCUGCUAUGGUGGCUGGGGAAGAUGGUUCUGUCUUAUGGGCUAAAGACAUUGUUGAGGGGCUUGAGGCUGGAUCAUUUUUCGAGUUUGACAACUUCUCGUAGAAAGGUUUUGAUCCUUAAUGAAGGCGCUGGAGACGCUCUUGCAUUACUCGGUAAAGAUUGAUUUUUGGAUAUAGUUUAGGUAGUGGACCAAAUCAAUGUGGAAGAACUGACCAAGAUUAUCGUUUAUGCAUAAUAGUUAACAAGGGCUUUGUCAUUACGCAGGUAUGUUUCGGUUAGUGCAGUAUUUUUCACAGGAUCAUUUACUCGGGAAGAAGAGGCCGGUUAAAUUUGUAGUGGAUGCUGGUACUGGAACAACUGCUGUGGGCUUAGGAGUUGCAGCUAUGUCUUUAGGGUUAGGCUUUAUUCAUAAGAUUUAUUGAAUACGCUCUGUGUCUGUUUCUUUUCCUGCUUGUCGAAGCUUUUAGCAUCUUGAUUAGCAGCUCACUUAAAAUUCUUCUCAGGCUUCCAUGGGAGAUCAAUGCAGUGAUACUAGCUGAUACAUUUGAAAAUUACAAAAGACAUGAAGAUCGCUUGAUAGCAGAAUUUGCGAGGCAGUUUCUUGACUCCGUCUCCUGCAGCAGCUUGGAUAUGAAUCAAAUGAUCAAAUGGAUAGAUCGCCAACACCCGAGAAAGUAUGUGCAUAUGCAAGUUCUUCUUUUCACAAUUGAAGAUACACUGAAACUGAUAUUUUUUUUCACUCCAAGUUUGAAUCUUUAGAGUGGUUUGAUCUAUCAAUUAUCUUUUUCCUUUUGUUCUUGCAGAUUUGGGAAGGUCUUGGAAGGAGAAGUGGAAAUGUGUCGGAAAAUUGCGCAGGAGACAGGAGUUUUAGUGGAUCCAAUGUAUACUUUAGCUGCUUGGGAGACAGCAACAGAGCUAGUGCUCGACGAGAAAUCGAGCAUUGUAGUGAUGCUUCACACUGGAGGCACUCUAGGGAUGUUUGGUCUUGCUCAAAGAUACAAAUCUUGCUUCACUAACUUGAAAGAUUAGGAUACAAUUUCCAAGACUUAGAGUCAGAAAUAUAAAGAUGGUUAGUUUUAUCUUGUAACUUCAAUUAUUUGUUUUGGAUUCGGUUUUAGCAAACCUAGAAUUGAACUCUAACCAAAAUAAUUUCGGUUCGGUUAUAUUGAAAUUUUGUUCGCUCAGUGUUUGGUUUGGUUUGGUUUUGUAUGUACGGUUCCCGAAAAGAAUCAUACUUGUAGAACAAAUAAGAAAAUUUAAAUACGUUUUUAGUUGUAGAAAAUGCGAGAAACGGAAGCAAACGUGGUAAGCAAGAAGAAGUGGUAAUAAGUAAAUUAUUAUUUUUACCUGAAACAAAAAAAAUAGCUAACGAAAACCAAGAUUAUGGUUUUUGGUCGUUGGUAUUUGGGGAGUCUUCUUCUCGAACCGAGAUGUUCAUGUGCACGUGCGUUUGGUCACUACUUCGUGUUUAACAAAACACUUUCCUUCACUAUACUAAUAUCCACAUUAAACAAUAGUAUUGCUUUUUAAAGAUCUUUGAUUCUUAUAUCAUUAAACCUUUUUGUAUGAAUUUUAUUUAAUGGUCUUGUGAAUGUGUAAUGUACCCUCCUCCUUGGACUCGCGAAAAUAAUGUAUCCUUAAGUCUUUUUUUUUUUAAUUUUUUUUUUUUUUUUGGUGCAACCAAAGAGUUACGUCUCUAGCUAACUUUUAACCAAAAAUAGUAAGUCUCGAACUAGCUAUUGCCAGACCUUAAAUGUUUUGGAGAUUAGACACACUAGAUAUAUUGAUUUUGGAGAUACAAAAGGGAGAAAAAAAAAACAAAGCAGAAAAGCUCAAUUGAGAGAAAGUCUCAUGAGGACAAAAAAACAUUAUUGAGUACAAAGUUUAUGAGUACUAGCAGCAGCCAAACCCUAAGCUACCUUUUGUGGUGAGCUAUAUACCCAAGUGUUUACGUGAAUUUGGUUUUGCUCUUAUGUUUUGAUCCUUGACCUCAAUUCAAGAAGUUUUAUGCCCCCACUAGGCCACUACUCUACCGAUCUUUUACAUUAUCAAAUAAGAUUUAGACCCCAAACUUAAGCUUUGCUUGCUUAGCUCCAAGGCCAGCUUUGGUUACUAUUUUCUUUUUUUAUGUCUACAGAAUUAGUAGCUGGUAUCCAUACCGUUUGAUUGAUAAUUUAUAGUCGAUGCGGUUGAAGUUCAGCUGUUUCAAAGAUUACUAAUCAAUGGAAUAAUUUUUACGAUAAAUAGAGCAAGUUUAUUGAAACAAUGCCUACAUGCGGUAAAAAUAUUUUUAUAGGCGGUGAAGGUUACUCAUUGUUUAAAAAAUUGCUUAAAUAAUGUUUGUCAAUCGAAAAACAUUUGUUUUUUUUAAAAAUCGCAUCUCUUAUUCUAUAACCGCUUAAGUAUUCUUCAUAUGAUUACGACAUUGUAUUAACAUAUUAUAAAUAAUAAGAAGACAAAAAGAAAAACUAACAGACAAUGAAGAAGUGAGAUUCGGAGUACGAAUACGAUAUUAUAUAUAAUAUAUAUAACAUAUUGCAAAUCAAGAGUAAGACAAAAGAAAAUUUAACAAAACAAUCAAAAAGUAAAAUUGUCCGAUAAGGUCCAUAACAAAUUUUUCCUUGUCAAUUUCUCAGUCUCACUAAUCACAUUCAAUUACUAGCUUUUUUUUACACAGUUUCAAAUACGGAGUAUAUACUAAAAAAUAAAAUCUGCAGAAACGAAAAAUAAAUUUUCCACGUACUCAGUAUUCGUGUCGCGUAGGGACUUUUAUUUAUUACGCCUCGUAAAACCAAGAACCCAAAGCCUACAACAAAAAGGGAAUAGGGGUAUUAACGUAACUUCCCACAAACGGAUACUAAUAAUAAAUCCGAUUUAACGUAAAAACAGUCAUUUUCGAGAAACUUAAAUGCUUACAACACAAAAAUAAUAAAAUAAAAAUAAACAUUUGUUCUCUUCCACUGUCUUGUCUGUAAUAAGAGCAAAGACAGAGAGAGACGACGUUACAGUAUCUCUCUCUCUCACACGAUCAAGAAAACUUCAUCAUUCGUCGGAAAAUAUCAUCUCCGGUAUUAAUGGAAGAUUCUAGACUUUUUCCGUUCGCCGGAAACUUAGACCCUCGUGCUCAAGAGUUUAUACCACUUAACCCUACCUCCUCCGGUUUUUACUUCCCGUUCACUCCUCCUUCACCGCUUCCUCCGCCGUUACAUCCGUCGUCGGAGCCAAGAGUUUUCACAUUCUUCAACAUCCCACCACAUCCGGUGAUGUUUUCUCCUCCUCCUUCUCAACCACCACCAUCACCACCACCGCGUCCGUGUUUUAACGGCGUUUCGGCAGCUCAACGACUUCCUCCGCCGUCAAAUUCUCCGACGCGAUCUCUCUCAUUGAUCUCCGUACCGCGUGACGUCACCGAGUCUACAGUGAGACGUGACUUGGAGGUUUACGGCGACGUUCGUGGCGUGCAAAUGGAGAGAAUCUCUGAAGGAAUCGUGACCGUCCAUUUCUACGAUAUCCGUGACGCUAAAAGAGCGGUUCGAGAAGUUUGUGGUAGACACAUGCAGCAACAAGCCAGAGGUGGAAGCGUUUGGAGCUCACCUUCUACUUCAUCGGCGCGUGGGUUUGUUUCCGGUAGACCUGUGUGGGCUCAGUUCGUAGUUCCGGCCACUAGCGCCGUUCCCGGAGGUUGUAACCAGGGAACGUUAGUUAUAUUUAACUUAGACCCUGAAGUCUCUUCCAUUACUCUCAGACAGUUUUUCCAAGUUUACGGUACGGUUUUUUUUUUUGUCUUGAUUUAGUUUAGUAUGUUUCCUCGAUUUGUGGAUAUGUCAGGAAUUAAAACAUUUUUCAAAGACUUAAAAAUGUUAAGCUAUGAUAUAAAUUACAUUAUUAUUUACAUGAAUAAUGGGUUAAUUGUUUGCAUGCUAUAUUGAACAUCAUUAGCUUUUGAAUAUAGAUAAGAUUGGACAGUUUGUUUAUGUGCGAGUCUUUAUUUCAGGUCCGAUCAAAGAGUUGAGAGAGACACCGUACAAGAAACAUCAAAGGUUCAUUGAGUUUUAUGAUGUAAGAGAUGCGGCGAGAGCGUUUGAUCGAAUGAAUGGUGAAGAGAUCGGUGGGAAGCAAGUUGUGAUCGAAUUUAGUCGACCUGGUGGAAUUAAGAACAAGUUCAGGUCAUCUAGGCAACCGCAGCUACCGUUUCAACCGCUUCAACAGCCACCAAUUCUAUUUCCUCCUUUGAGGCGGCCAGUAACUCUCAUGAAAGAUAAAAACAAGAAUGUGAGCCCUAAAAAUGGAAUUAUUGCUGUUGGUGCUUCUAUGCGUUCGUUAUGUAUCAUUGGUGAUGACGAUAAUAAGACCCGAGGAACGGAAUCCGAAUGUGCGGAGACAAAGAGCAAGAAUGUGGCUAAGUGGGGGAAGAAAAGACAGAUGAAGAACAUGGAACUAAGUCAGUUUCUUAUCAGUGAAGAAACCAUGGAAGAUCCGAGUUGCAGAGAUCCACGUACUACUUUGAUGAUCAAGAACAUACCAAACAAGUACAGGUUGGGCUUUAUAAUCUAAUUUAUUUAGUAUUAUAUAAUUUGGAAGUUUUUCAAUGAUUCUCUAGGAAACUAAAGACUAAAUCUUUCAAUAAAAUAUUUAUUUGGAUUUAAAGUUUGAAGCUUUUUCACACUCUAGGAUGACUAAAGAUUUAGAUCUUUCAUUAAAAUAUUCACAUGGAUUCGUGUGCUAUAUUCAAAGGUUUAUAUUCUAGAUAAAAUUCUCCAAUGUUAUGUUCCAUCGAACUUUUAAUUAUAUUCUUGUUUGAUCAUACCUUAAUUGACUAACAUUUUUCCUUGAGAUUCUUGUAGGUUUUUUAUUUAUGAGAUUCCAUGUGAUUUUUUCUAAGGUUUCGUGUUUUUGUUCUAUAUAGUCAAAAGCUACUCUUGGAUAUGCUAGACAAUCAUUGCAUUCACAUCAACAAAGCAAUCACCGAGGAGCACGAUGAACAUGAGUCUCAUCAUCAGCCGUAUUCUUCUUAUGAUUUCGUGUAUCUCCCCAUGGAUUUCAAGUAAUCAAACAUCGAUAUUCAUUUGACAUAUAGAAUCGGUUAUAUUUAUGGUUAAAAUCAUAACUCUUUUCUUUGUUGUGAUAUCAGCAAUAAGUGCAAUGUUGGUUAUGGGUUUGUGAACAUGACAUCUCCGGAAGCAGCUUGGAGGUUUUACAAGGCGUUUCAUCAUCAACGUUGGGAGGUUUUUAAUUCGCGUAAGAUUUGCCAGAUCACAUAUGCAAGAGUUCAGGUAUAAUAUACACAUUAGUGUUUUGAAAUCACAAAAUUACAUAAACUUUACAUGCUCUAGUUAACCCUCAAAUUAAUAUGCAAACGCAUGGAAGUUGCACUAUCUCCAUAUAUAUCAAAUUUUAAGCUAUACGUCAAACCAAAGUCUUGAUUUUACGAUAGCUUUGAUUAUUUGGUCACAAUGUGUUUAUUUUGUUACAUUUGAUCGUCAACAAAGGGUUUGGAGGAUCUAAAGGAACACUUCAAGAGCUCUAAGUUUCCGUACGAGGCUGAGCUAUACCUGCCAGUGGUCUUCUCGCCUCCACGAGACGGGAAGAGGUUAACAGAACCUGUCUCCAUCAACAUCAACGGCUGCACCAGACUUAAUCAUCUUGAGCGAAUGGACGGUCAAGAUCACUCUCUGAGUAGAUCAUAUUGUGAUAGUGACCAUGAUAAUAGUCACGAAGAUGGAUUUUCCGGCAGUAGUAGCAUAGACUGUGGCCGGUGUAUCACAUUGGAAGGAGAAACAUCUUUCUAGGUGUUAUUUGUAAUGUGUAUCAUCAUAAGAUAUAAAAAGUGUAAGUAGACAUAUCAUAAUCUUGGUUAGAAAUUGUACCUUUUUUUUUUUUUUCUUUGGUGUGUAGAAAUUGUACCUUUUUGUUUGUCUGUUUGAUUCUAAAGUUCUAUUUGGUUAUCAACAUGAAUUAAAUCACUCAAGCAAAGUUCUUUUUGGUUAUCAUCAACAUGAAUUAAUGACUCCUGCACAGUUCUAAAAGGUCACAUCUAUAUAACUCUUUUCUUUUCUUUUCUUUUCUUUUCUUUGGUAUAAAGAAAGUAGUAAUAUUUGGAUUUAUGUUGAUAUUUUAAAAUAGGGAUAUAGAAUUGAUAGGAGACUAAAAUUGGGUUGACCUAGGGUAAGAGUUCUUUUUCAGGCAAUACUAUCUUUGUUCUAGAGUUAGCUGUCUUAUUCAGUGACCUGUGAAAGGGACAAUAGAAGACUCUGUGCUAGUGAUGAUCACAUUCUGUAUCUCCCUCUGAUUCAUGGGGCACUGACACGUGGUUUGAUAUCCACCUUACUUGGUGCAUGGCAGAGUUGAUAGUGAUCGUUGACUACAACUUUAAUCUUUUCGUGUUAGACCAUCAGCAGUGGCAAAUGUGUUUGUGUGGGUGUAAGUAUUUUUUUAGUAUUAUAAUUUAAAGCAAAAGAGAAAAGAGAAAGAAAAAGAAAGAGAGAGAUAGAAAGAAAAAAUGUUACACCCGAGUGUAAACUUACACCCAGGUGUGAAGAGAGAGACAAUUUUUUCGUUUUUUUAAUACCUACACCCCAAGACUCACACCCACCUGCUUACCCACUGCCCAAGCUCUUAGAGAUAUCUUUAGUUUUAAAAUUUUGGUUCUUCAUUGAAGGGUUCUUGUUAUGAAAUAUUAAAGUUCGAUUUAACCUUGAAAAUCAUUCCUAGGGUAUUAAUUGAAAGAUUUAGGAUGUGACUGCAAAAGGGAUUUUAAAACUUUAAUAAAAGGUUUUACAACAUUACUGAAUCAUUCUUUUACCGGUCAUAUAUUUGUAAGAGUUGUAGAUAAGAUCCACUAAAAGUUUAAAGUCUCUAUCAGAAUAAAAAAAGAUUUGGUACGUAUCAAUUGAAUUCUGUAGCAAUUGUUGUAACAACAACCUCAAGCAAAUAACUUAUAUUUAUUCGUUAUUACUAAAAUCCAAUGAGUGCAAGGAGUUUUUUUUUUUUUUUUGGGCCAAACAAAAGUAAAAAUCAUCUUGAAGAAGAUAGAUUUCGUAUUAAUUGACCCCAAAAAAAGACUAAUUUCGUAUUUAAUAAAUGAAUUUUGUUUUCUGUAAAUGCAUUUUCAAUAUUGGUGCUCGUCUUCCUUUAACAAAACUGGAAAAAAGUGGCCCAAACUCCAUACUUAUCAAAGAGAUCCAAAUUUUAACCAAAUGUUGAUAAUGAUGUUUCAUAACAUUAUGGGCCUAAAAAAAGCCCAUUAACGACAUUUCCCUAAUUUUGACCUCUCUCUCUAUAAAAGCAAGUCCCUCUAAACCCUAGUUCUUUAAAAUCCCAGUCAAAUCUCCGUAGCCGUCACCAUUACCCCUAACAUCUUCCUCUCCAUAGUUUACGAUUGAUUUCAAUUCUUGUUUUUUUUGUUAAGUCUUUGACAAAUGUUUCUUUAGAUCGCUUUCGAAAGGCGUUGCGCUCUUCGUCAUAGGGUUUUUGUAACCCUGAAGGGCGUGUCACCGAAAGCGUAUAAUCAAAAAUCUUCAAUACGAUUCGUUUAGGAUUUUGCGAAUUCGGAUUCGUUCGAAUUAACAAAUUACCUAAAGAUCCGAUGGCUUCUUUUGUAUCCAUCGAUUCAUCGUAUUGGGAAAUUUCGAAUCUAAAGUUUAGAUCUGUAAUGUUUUUUGAAAUUGUGAAAAUUGCUUCAUAAUGGUGAACUCUCUUAGAUUAUACAAAGUGAGAGAUGUUCAAGUUUCCGGAGCAAAUAUUAACCUGGCCAGAAUUUAACAGCUCUGUGUUUAAAUUUUACUAUUUUCACAGUGUUACCUGUCUUCUGGUAUAUUUCACUAAUCUCAUUUUUGAGAUUCGAAAUUGAACAAAUAAACAUAUGGGCUUUGGAUUGAUUCUUAGGCCCGAUUUUUUGGUAAACGGCUUAUUGAAAUAGUGUUAUAAAGGUUAAAAACCAUACCAAAAUUUGGCUAAUCAGCAAAACUAAAUUCUAAUCCCGCCAUGCACCGAAAAAAUUCUAGACUGAAAUAAUACAGUCUGUGGUUUUCCGGUGCCUUGUGAGAUUAGAGUUUUAUCUUGUGAAUUUGCUUAAGGAGUUAUUUUUUUACUAUUUCAAUUAUAAUUUUGUGAAUUAUCCAAAGUGAAAAUUGAAAAUUGAUAAAUUAAACUAAAAUGAAUAAAAUCUGAGUCUAAAUUAUGCAAGGAUAAUUUUUGUUAUAAACUGAUCCAGGACAACAAAUGACUCCAUAUCAAAGAGACUUAAGAUUUGGCAAAUUUUGCAUUUGUAGCUUUGUUCUACGAGUUCUUUACGACACUAACCUAACAACACAUACCAUUUGCAUUUUCAACCUCAAAUAUAACGUUACGUGUACGUCAAGAAAAAACGUUUGUUCUUGAAAUAGACCAAUACCCUAAAACUGAGUCCAUAAGCAAAAAAGCACCGAACGCAUGAUGAAUCCUCUCUUUGAAUCUUCGAUUUACAUAUCUUUACGAAACAUAAACAUUAAACUUUGAAAUCCAAUCUUCAAUGUUUAUAGACUUACUACAAAAUAGAGUCACUGAGCAACAAAUUACAAAAAAUGUCUGACUUGUCAUUGAUAGAUCGCAUUUCUACUCAUCUUUGUCUUCAAGAUGUAUCUAUUGCGUUGUUAGGUUUAUUCCUUUUUGGUUGCUUGCAAGCCAAGCUAACCAACAAAGGUGGACCAGUGCAAUGGCCUGUGUUUGGGAUCACUCCCGAGUUCUUUCUUCAUGUUCACGAUGUGUUCGGAUGGGUUACACGGUGUUUGACGAAAAGUCGAGGAACGUUUCCUUACCAAGGAAUCUGGUUUAGUGGAUCUUAUGGAGCUAUGACUAGUGUUCCUGCAAACAUUGAAUACAUGCUCAAAACCAAUUUCAAGAACUUCCCUAAAGGAGAGUUUUACAAAGAGAGAUUCCGCGAUUUACUCGAAGAUGGUAUUUUCAAUGCGGAUGAUGAAUCUUGGAAAGAGCAGAGGCGGAUUAUCAUAACUGAGAUGCAUUCGACUCGCUUCGUCGAUCAUUCUUUUCAAACGACGAGAGAUUUGAUACAGAGGAAGCUCUUGAAAGUGAUGGAGAGUUUUUCCAAGUCACAAGAAGCUUUUGAUCUUCAAGAGAUUCUUUUAAGGUUAACGUUUGAUAAUAUCUGCAUCGCGGGUCUUGGAGAUGAUCCGGGGACUUUGGAUGAUGAUCUUCCCCACGUUCCAUUCGCUAAAGCGUUUGAAGAAGCAACAGAAUCUACUCUGUUUCGGUUCAUGAUUCCGCCAUUUGUGUGGAAACCGAUGAAGUUUUUUGAUAUAGGGUAUGAGAAAGGGCUGAGGGAAGCGGUUGAGACGGUUCACAAGUUUAUCGACAAGAUGGUUGUCGAGCGAAUCGCGAUGCUUAAGGAUGAAGGAACAUUAGCGAAUAGCAAAUCCGAUGUCCUCUCGAGACUAAUCCAGAUCGAAAGUCAUAAAAGAGGAGAUGAAAAUGAUAGAUUCACCAUUAAGUUUUUCAGACAGUUCUGUACAAGCUUUAUCUUAGCGGGACGAGACACGAGUUCAGUCGCGCUUACUUGGUUCUUCUGGUUGAUAACAAAACACCCUGAAGUCGAAACCAAGAUCCUCCACGAAAUCAGAGAAAUCUUGAGCCAAAGAGGACAUAACAACAAUAAUCUUGAAACUGGAGAAACAGAGAGGGGUUGUCACUUCACAGUCAAAGAACUAAACGAUAUGGUUUAUCUACAAGCAGCAUUGUCAGAAUCUCUUAGACUCUAUCCACCAAUUCCAAUGGAAAUGAAACAAGCGACCGAGGAAGAUGUGUUUCCUGAUGGAACUUUCUUGAGAAAAGGCUCACGGGUUUACUUCUCAGUCUAUGCAAUGGGAAGGAUGGAAUCAAUUUGGGGAAAAGACUGUGAAAUGUUCAAACCAGAGAGAUGGAUACGAGGAGGGCAAUACGUUAGUGAUGAUCAGUUUAAAUACGUCGUGUUCAAUGCCGGUCCAAGACUUUGUUUAGGGAAAACAUUUGCUUACUUGCAGAUGAAAAUGGUGGCUGCUUCAAUCUUGUUGAAUUACUCAAUCAUGGUUGAUCAAGAUCACGUUAUUGUUCCCCGAGUAACAACUACUUUGUAUAUGAAACAUGGUCUUAAGGUCAGGAUUAUACCGAGAUCUCUAGAGGAGAAGAAGCAAGAUUCAUAAAUAAUAUAGAAGAUAAAACAGCUAAACUCUGAAGUUGUUACUAAAAUAUCUGUUUAUAUAUGGCUAUUGUAAGAUCUUCACCCUUCUAAAAUUAGAUUAGGCACAUAAUUAAUCUUUGUUAGUAAAAUGUACAGUGUGUAUUAUGUGUAAUGCGGAUCAAAUGUUAUACAAAGCAAAUAAUUGCAAUCAAAAGGUACUUGUCUUGGAGUAUGGACUAAUUUGAAGAAAAGGUUUUGGUUUCGACCGCCUUCUCGUGCUAGUAACAAGCUUAAACCACUGGCUUCUCGGAUCGCAACUCGAGUUUCCUAGUAAACAUUUGCAGCUGUUCGUCACAAUGUUGUUAUUGUUCGAAUCCACAUCCAAACAAAUAGAUACUCCAUUCUUUGUUAUCGAAGAGAGUUGCAUCUUCGAGUCAGACAAAAGCUUCCAUUUCGAACAGUAAGAAUCUGAGAAAAACAGACGUAGCUUCACAGACUUUCCGUCCUCAUAAGCUUUUAAACAGAGGAUUUUUUCUUCUGUUAGUGAUAAAACUCGAUGAGAAGAAAGUUUCCAGCUUUCUGAUCUAUUGCAAGAACCAAGCUUUAGUUGAAACAAUGAUUUUCUUACAAUGCAAAGUCCAGUUGAAGGAUGGAACAUUAUUUUCUUUGGUUGUGUUUCCAUCAGACCUGGUCCUGAAUAUUGCAAAGUUGUUUAAAUUUUGUCACUAAUCAAGAAAUCAAAUAAAACAAAUUUUAAGUUUGAAAAACAAUUUGUGUACCUUGAAAAGGAGACUGUAUUGCAGAAAUCAUCUGCAAAAUGGUUGAGUUCCUUAUGCUUGACCAAUUCCAAUCCAAAACUCCAUAAGUUUCAUCUGUUCCAAUAGUUUUCUCCCUUAUAUAAUAACUUCCUGCAAGAGUCCAUAGUGACCAAUCUAGAUCAAGAUCAGCUGCUAAAGCCAUAAAACAACUUAGAAACUUAUUGUCAUUUGCAUUAUUCCCUCUUUGAUCAAUCCCAAACUCGCUCACAAACAACGGAACCCCUUUCUCGAGCAAAAACCCCGACAUUUUCAUCAUCUUUUCGGUUUCUUUCCCGCAAAUCUUGUUCAAGUUAUCUCCUUCCAAAGAAUUCCAAAACCCAUACCAAUGUAUCUCAAACACCAGUUUCCUCCUAAAGCUAACUUCAAAAGGUCUGUCUCGGAGAAACGAUAAGUCAGUAGCGUCCACACAUGUCCAACCCGAUCCGACCCAAAGAUGGUCCAAUCAUCGACAAGGCCCAAAUUGAUGCCGUCGAUCUAAGCCCGAACAUUCCGAGAUUAAUGGCCAAAGAGCCAUCAUCUCGAGGGGGCGUAUUAGGACAUAAUGUCCUACAUCGGAAGUUGGAAGGGAUCCUAAGUAAUAUAUAAGGGAUAUGGGCCACUCCACUCAUAGCCAAUUGGUUUUGAGUUGGAAGCCCAUAUUCUAAUAUAAUUUAAACCCGAGACAAUAACAAGAACAUCCGGAUUCAUUGAGUGGACCGCUUCAGCGCCCUUUCUCAUAUACGUAUACCAAUCUUUAAUGUUCUGUUUAGGACCUCUAAGUUCAUUCCUUAGACACAUACCAACCACAUUUGAUGAAACAUUAGCAAACAUUGAUGCCAUUUUCUUUAACCCUUUGAUCCAAACUUGAGGGUUUAAAUGUUUAUCGCCGAAAAACCCAUUUCCAUCAUUGUCACUACAACACCAACCAGGUUGGCUUAUGUGAUUGUCUAAUAUCACCAUUACUCUAUGCUUUCCAAGACAAGACACUACUUCCUGUUUAAGAGAAAUAACAACAAAGUUCUCAUCUUUCUUAAUCCCAAGAAGAAGAUAGAAAAGUCAAAAUCUUUGGGGGAAAAUUCUGAAGAAAGGUAAAAACUUUGACUUUUGUUACCUGGAAAGCUUUGAUUAGAGGAAGAUCAAGAAUCGUUGGAUUAUGAGUUUGAAAACCAGAAACAGCUUCAAGAAGACGAAACUUGCGAAGAGAUUGUCUCACAGUCAUAAUAUCAGAGAAAGAUUCAUCAGUGGCUAAGUAGAGAGGCCAAGUCAAUCUAACACAAUUGAAACCCAUUGAGACGAUCUUCUCGGCGAUCGAGUCCAAUGACUGCUUGCUUAACCCUUCCGCCACCGCGGUUUCUAGAUGCGACGGCCAGUUGACGCACGUGAGCUUCACGCGACGACCUUUGUUGCCGUCGUCGACGAUCCAGCGUGAGUCGGUGGAGAGAGGGAAAGCGAAAGUGGUGAUGACGUAAGGAAGAAGAAAGACAGAGAUGAAGAAGAAUUUUUCCAUUUGGUUGUCUCUCUGUUUCAUCCAACCUCUUUCUUUAAUAAUGUCCGUAUCAUAAAAACAUUUAAUUUUCACCAAAUUAGUUUUAAUAAAUUAACUAAUACAAAAUAUCACUUUUUCAAAUGUCCAAUCUGUAUAUUUUGCAGCAUAAUUAUUUUUUUCAUCAUAUAUUAAAAUUUUAUUUGGGUUUGUCACAUCGCAUAAACAAGGUUUAACAUAUAAUAGCGUAAUAGCAUCAUAUAUUAGAUUUAACAUAUAAUAACAAGGUUUACAACUUUUAUAAGUUACUUAAUCGCGUUAUUUAUAUAUGAGAUGAAUAAUAUAUAUAUUUAAACCUCAUUAUUUACGAACUUUAACAAUCUUAAACCACUGACUUAUCGGAUCACACGAGCUGUCUUCGCCCUUCACACACUUGCAGUUACUAGCGAUGAGGUUAUUGGAUUCAUCCACGUCAAGACAAAGCGAGUUAUUAGUUGAUUUCGCUGCUAAGAGCAUAUUAGAGGCUGAAAUAGUCUCCCAUUUUGACAAAUUAGGGCUUGAGCAACUCGCUUCACUGAGCUUAACCGGCGCGUUGGGCCCAGUGGUUUCUAAGCAUAGAGACUUGUCUUUGAGUGUCAGCAGGGUGUUCUCAGGAGUGUAGCUCCAUGGUUGAGAUUCAUUACAUAGACCGAGAGUGACCUUGGUUGGAUCUAAGAUACUUUGUAGCAUGCAAAGUCCGGUUAACGGGUGGAAAACAAGAUUGUAGACUUUGGAUUGAGAGCCCGGUCCUGGUAAACCAAGUCAGGAAUAGUGAGAUGUUAAUUAAUUAUAGCAGCUAACAUCCACCUUAAAUGAAUAAAGUUACAAAAUCUAGAAAAUCCUUGUACUUAAUAAUUACGCAAAGUUAAUUAAACAUGACCCUAUAUAUUUUUAAAUCUGAUAGUAUACACUUGUAUUGUGUAUUUGAAUUGUAGGUGACAAAAAAAUCUAAUGGUCGGUAAACUAGCCACCAAAUUUUGAUUUUAUACUUGGUGACGAUUGUGAAGUCUAAAAUAAGGCCCGGCUCAAUAUUUUAUUGGAUCAUGUGCUACAAACGAAAAAUGGCUCUCUUUAAAUCUUUAAAUCUAAAAAAAAUAACCUCCAUAACAUGUGUUUACUAUAUUCUUCUUUUAAACCUAUUAUUUUGCUCGCCGUUUUCUCUAGUUUUUUUCUAAACAAAAAAAAAAUCUACAAAUUAGAACACUAAAAAUUAAAAAAAAAUAUGAGGACCCUGUGCCUUGGCACCCAUGGACACUACGGCACUACCCUAGAGCCGGGCCUGUAUUAGUCUAAUGAUUUCAAGUGAUAAAAUAAAUUUGUGUAUCAAAAACAUAUAAAAUAUACCUUGAAGCGGGGAUUGAAUCAGAGACAAUCUUUGCAAGAAAUUUUGGCUUCGAACACGAACCCAAUCCGAAUCUAAGAUACCGUAAUACUCGCUCAUUCCGACCACACCUUCUCUGAGAUAAUAACUUCCUUGAAGUGUCCAAAUCGACCAAUCUACGUCAUUUUCCGCUGCCCAACCUAAUAUACAUCCGAUAUACCGAUUAUCGUUAACAUUUUUGCCUCUCAAGUCAAUUCCAAACUCACUAAGAAACACCGGGAAGUCACGGAGGUUGAAACCGCCCCCGUUCUCUAUGCUUUGCAGAAUCUCGCCGCAUGCCUCGUUAGGGUUUUUGGAACUCCAUGUUUUUGUGUUGGUGAAAGAGUAUCGAUGGAGCUCGAACACGAGUUUUCUACUGAAAGUUAGGUUUACAGGUCGUGAUCGGACAAAUGAGAGGUCGGUAUCGUAGCUGAGGCCAGACAGGAUUACAAGUACAUUAGGGUUUGCUUCGUGAACUGCCUCGGCCCCUUGUUGCAUGUACCUACAUGAAUAUACGCAUGAGAAAAAAAGAAAAAAAAAAAAACACAUGAGACAAAUAAAUAUACAUCUUAAUCUUACUUAGUUCUUAACCAAAUAUAUAUAUGUGUAUAUAUUUAUAUGUUUAGAAAACAACAUAUUUAAAAUAAAUUAUCACUAGUAACAUAUUAAUAUAUGCAGUGGCGGAGGUAGCAUAGAAACAUGGGGGUCAACUGACCCCGGUGAAUUUUCAAAAUCAAACUAAUAUUAUGGCAUAUUUAAACAAAUACAUAGAUAUUUGAUUAAAUUCCUAUAAAUUGACCCCAGUGCCCAAUAUGAAAACUACUCUUUUGACCCCUUAAACCAUAACUUUUUUAAUAUUACAAAAUGAUAUAGACUAUAACCACUAAUUGUUAUAUAUAAGUUUCUUUGUUUUUAAUUUUAUUAUCAUGUUUUAGACAAACCAAAUGUUUUUAUAAAUAUCAGAAUUUCAUUUUUGUAAAUGUAAUAAAAAAAACAUAAGCUAUAUGCAAUAUAAUUUGAAGAAAAAAAACAACCACACUUUAUUAAAAUAUUUUUUAUAUUUUGACCCCGGUAAAUUUAAAUUCUAGCUCCGCCACUGAAUAUAUGCCCACUAAAUCACUGAUAAUUUUUUAUUACGACGUAGCUAGACAAAUAUAUUCUAAAAUUAUAAACUAUAACACACACGAUACUUCCAUUUUUGUUUUGGUCAGACGAAGUAAUUAGUAAUCAUUGGGGGGCUGUUGUAGACUGUUGCUAUAAAAUUGACUAGAGGUACUUUGAUUUUUGUAUACUAUAGUCAUAGCAUAAAACUUAUGUGCCACUUGUUAUUGGCUUUAGGAAAAACAAAAAAAAAAAGGAAAAAUUAUGAAAUUUCUAAUUUGAUUGAUAAAUUUUGUUUUCUGUAAAACUGUAAUGUAAUUAAAGUCUUUAACCCCCAAAAGUCACUUAAAGUGACAUACUUUAACUAGUGUCCAUUUCCUUCUUCUUAUAGUUGUACUUUUUUCAUUAAAAAAAGAAACUUUUAAUGUAACGUAUGCCACUGCACUGAAGGUUAAAAAACUGAUUUUAAUAUUACAGAAUAGCGAUCUCUUACACACACACACAUGCAACGAAUUGGGCAAACAUGAAAAAGGCACUUAAAAGUAAUACGUGCAAGAGAUGGCCGCUAGUUGUGUGUUGUUUUUUCUUUCUAUGUAACCGUUAAGUAAUUAAUGCAAUUUAAGUUAAACCAAUUAUAUAGAAAUUAAAAAGUCAAGUGCGAAUAGGUUAUACAAAUGUACGUACUUGAACCAAUCGUCGACGUUUUGUUUUGGUCCUCUAAGUUCAUUUCUGAGGCUCAUGCCAACGACAUUGGAGGCACCUUUAAAAGUCGUGGCUAUCUUGAUCAGACCGGAGAUCCACGUGGCAGGGUCAAAGAAAGUGUCGCCAAAGAAACCGUUUCCGUCGUUGUAGCCACAGCACCAUCCUGGCUUGGUCACGUGGUUGUCUAAUAUCACCAUCACAUUUUUGUUUCCCAACUUAGCUACUACCUUCUGCAAAAAUGAAAAAAAAAAAGAAAACGAAGAUUUUUGUUUUCAUCCGAAAUGAGUGAUUUUUAGGGUUGAAAGCUAUAGUCAAAGGAAAUCCACAUCUUUUUCUCUUUCUUUUUAAAUACAUCUUUGUAUAUUAUUUUGUUUGUGUAUGUUAUGAUCAAAAUCUUUUCUAAUUUUACUUUUUAUUUUCAUAACGGGUCUCCGAACCAUUAGAUUACCUGAUUACCACUCUGGGAUUUAUAUAUGCAAACACUAAUCAAAACCACACAAUUUUUUUUUUCUGGACUAAAUCAAUUAGCUAGUAAUUUCAUGAAAAGAACAAUAAAAAGGAAAAAUUACAAAAAUUGUAGUGAUUGUUAUUUAAACAUUAUUUUGGCAGCUAUUUAAAACGUUAUUUAAUAGUAUUUGUUUUUUUACAUCUAAAUCAAACUGAUAUUUGUUAAUAUCUAAAUUUACAAAGAUACGAGUUUUUUAAAUAUAAUUUAUAACUUGAAACCAUAAUAGUAAGCAUAAAUUAGAUUUAUUACCAUACACAAUAAAUUGGACACUAGCAUACCUUGUAAGCUUCAAUGAGCGGAAGAUCAAUCAUGGACGGGUUCUUUGUUUCGAAACCAGAAAUGUCAUCAUUAAGACCAAGACUUUGAAAAGAUUGUCUCACAGUAACAUUAUUAGCCAACGUCUCAUUUGUAGCUAGAUCAAGUGGCCAAGUUAACCUUACACAGUUGAAACCCAUUGCCACUAUCUUCUUGGCCAAGUCAUCUACUCCCUGCUUGCUCAGCCCUUCCGCCACCACAGGCUGCAAAUGCGAUGGCCAAUUCACACACGCCAGCUUCACUCUUUGUCCUUUUUCGUCGAUGAUCCAACGAGAGUUUGUAGAGAGAGGAUAUGCCAUGUUCUUUGUGGUGAAGGAGAAAAAUGAGAAGAAGAUGAUGAAGCAAAACAUGCGUCUUAGCUCUUUUGUUGUCUUCAUGUUAAAUGUAUUUAGAAAACUUUUGGGUGUUUGUUUUUUUUGUUUGGUGUUGGUGAAUCAUUUCGAAGAGACGUAUAUAUAUAUAGAAAUGAUUUAGAAGUAAAGUCGAAAUCAUUUGUUGUAUUUAGGCUAAUAAGCUCUUUCGUGAUUUGGAAGGAAAACAAGCUUGGAAUCAUGAAAUAAAGUUUUUAACUUUAAGGGUUCAAACACAACAUAUAAACCGUAGGAUUGAUCGCUUAUGUUAAUGACCUAACAAUGACGUCAACGCUAUAUAUAAUAACUUUUGUAGUUAAAUUUAGCUCAGUAAUUAUAUUGGAUCCAAGUCAUUGACUGACAUUUGGAGAUUAAUAGACUAUUCACAACCAAACUGAAAAUCAGAUUGAUUUAAUUUACCGUGCAAAAGCAAGCUAAGAGGAUGAUUACUAGUAAGGUCGAUAACUUUCUUUUUUCCUUUUCUAUAAGACAGGAAUAGUAUGACUUAAAAUCUCUUUUAUUGGUACGUCUGGAAGAUCAUGUGGAUCCAAUCAAUGGAAAUUUGACUUUGGAAACUUCACCUGUCUAUUGAAUUUUGAGAAAUUGGGUGAAAAAAUCUUAGAAUAGUGCAUUAAUUAGUCAAAUAACACAUAUUGGGACAAAAUGAUAUAUUGUGAUGUGUUAGGACAAAAACACCACUUGUGAGACUUUGAGAUAUGUCUCCCUUACGUGGCUUUCUCCCCCUUUUGCAUUCCCUUUUUUUCUUCAUCUUUUUUACCCCAAUUUAAUCUCCUUUUUUUUUAAUAGUUUUUCGUCCUCAUUUUUAAUGAUUGAAUAUCUCAUCAUAUAUUAAAAAAAAACAUAUUUUCGUAUAUGUUAUGAUUGAAAAUUUGAAAGAUGUACAGAAGUUAAUUUGAAUUGAGUAAUUGAAUAUUGUCAAAAAAAGUUUUUAUAGAAUACCUUGUUAUAACUGGUUCACGUAUGAAAAAUUAAUACAUUUUAAUUGUAAUACGAUAGUUCAUAUUUUUGAUAAGAUUUUUCCACUUCAAAAAUUUAUUGGCUAGAAAUUUAUAAUUUUGUUCUAGCAAUUUAUAUUAAGAAAUUUGAGCAGAAUAACUAAUUAUUUAUGUAAGUUAAUACGACAAAAAUUUUCAUUUUUAUUUCGAAAUGAAGGAUUAAAUUAAUAGUUUUUAAAAUAACGAAGGUUUAUUUUGCAAUAUCUUUUAUAUCAAGGGUUGAUCUUGCAAUUCCUCUCUAAUUUGUUGUUUUGGACCUUUUGGUGACAUCUCUCUUUUUUGAUCUUUGUUUUGUUGUUUCAUCUUUCACAAUUUCCACAAGGCUUACAUUUACACUCUCCCAAAGUAUGUUGUGUUCUCUGUGGUAAAGCCUAAUCGAAUCGUUCUAUGGAAUUACCUAAACCGUUUUGAAAAUAUGAUAAACCCUUUGUUGCUUCUCUUACCCAUGCAAUUUACUCUGUCCAAACUUGAAUAUUAAAGAGGCAUAUCAAAGAGCCAUCAUGAGAUGCAACUUUUCUAUUCAUAGCAAAGCAGGAUCAUGUUCUUUCUAACAUCAUCUUACAUACAGUUAUACUCGCAUACGUUUCGAUAUGUACAGAGAAAGUUUAUUCGAAACUUGUACAAAGUCUGGAACUGGAGUUUGGUGCAAUCACUGGACUUGAACUGGGACAAGCUUGAGAGGUACUUUCUUGACGACUGUAAGAGUACCAACUUCUUCUGUAUCGAUGUCUUUAUGUGUCAUCCCAUCUGGUGCUCUCCAAUCGAAGAAGUAAAGUAAGUUCAAGAGUCCCAAUUCCACUAUAGUGAUCCCCAACCCCAUCCCGGGACAUAUCCUUCGACCGGACCCGAACGGUAAGAGCUCGAAAUGUUGUCCUCUAUAAUCCACAGGGUUGUUGAUAAACCUCUCGGGGUUAAACUCUUCCGGGUUUUUCCAGAGUUUCGGAUCUCUUCCUAUUGCCCAAGUGUUUACUAAGAUCCGUCUCUUUGGAGGAAUAUCAUAGCCUUGAACCUUGAUGUGAGCCAUUGUUUCUCUUGGGAGUAGAAGAGGAGCUACUGGAUGUAAUCUGAAUGUUUCCUUGAUCACCAAGUUCAAGAAAGGAACUUUAUUGAGAUCUUCUUUUGUGAUUCUCUCUUUAUCGUUGCCAAGGCGGUCUCGGAUCUCGCCUUGAACUUUCUUCAUUAGUUCCGGGUUUCUUGCGAGCUCCGUCAUUGCCCAUAUCAUAGUAAGAGCUCCUGUGUCUAUCCCUGCGAUAAUUAUAUUCUACCAAACACCGGGACACUAUGUUAAAUAUCAGUACAAAUGUUUUGAAACAAGUUUUGUUUUCUUUUUUUUUUACCGUGAGAAGUCCCUUAAUAUGAUCUGUUGUGAGCCUCAAAGAAUCAUCUUUGCCUUGUUUAUGCACCACAUCCAACAUUACAUCGACGAUAUCUUUGUGGUCUUUCGAUCUUCUAGGAUUUGAAUGAUCAUCGAUCACAAGUUGAAACAAAGCAUCGAGCUUGAAGAAGACAUUGUUGAGCCACUUGUGUUUCCCGGAAAUCCAGUCAACAAGCCAUCCAAGUCCGGCCAUAGGGAAGAAAUCAGAGUAAGUGAAACUAGCCUGAGCUGUCUCGGUUUCAAAUAUAAGUUCAUCGAUCUUGUCUUUAUCGUUAAACUCGUUGUCGUGGAAACUCUGUCCAAAAGCAAUUCUAAACAGGAUACUCGCAGCUAGCCAGAAAAGGGUUUUGCUCAAAUCAACCGGAGCCCGACCUACUGCUGAUUCCGACAGUUUCUUGACCAGAAAGUUACAUUCUUCUUCUAUGAACUCUCGAAAAGACUGAACCUUUUUAAAACAGAAAAGCUCUCGCACCAAGAACUUACGCCGCUCCCUCCACUCUUCACCGUAUGGAGUAAAACUGAUAUCUUUAAAACCCCGAGAGAUUAGCCUCGUCCCGACAAGCUUAGGCCUGCUGCAACACUUUAGGUCAUGAGUUCUAAGCACUUCUUCAGCUGCUUCCCUCGAUGAGAUAACAGUUACAGGGACAAACCCAAAGUGAAGAAGCAUAACAUGUCCGGUUCUUUCGGCUAGACGUUGAAAUGACCUAUGAGGCAAUUCUCCAACUUGGUGUAAGUUUCCGAUGACCGGAAACGUAGGAGGACUUGGAGGAAGAUUCCAUUUAAAGCGUUUGAUCUUCUUGAAGACAAAGAUUAACGAAACGAAGGUGAUGAGAAAAAGACAGAGUAAAGAGAUUGCCAUUUUUUUUUUCUCUUGGUUUAAAUUGAUAAUGCUCUGUUUUGGUAUAUUAAUAGUUCAAAGCGGCAAAUCCAAUGCUCAGUGAAGAUAAAAAGAGAUAACUCACACCGCUUACAUUUUAAUCAUGGUUAAAUAAAAUUUUUAAUAGUGUUACACAUUCGGUAGAUUUUAGAUUUUACUGAUGAUUGUUCAUAAUAUAACAAGUGUUAGAACACUAAUUGUUUUACAACUAAAGUCGUUUAGGUUUACUGGUGCACCUAAUUAAAAUCGUGUUAAAAGUAUUUGUGGUUAUAAGAUGGAAGAUUUAGCUUGUGUAGUGACGAGACCAAGACAAAAUAUGACUUCGUGUCCACUACAUUUGUUAGUUUUUGUUCCACCAUAGAUUAUAGAGUAAAAUAGAAGGCAAAUGCUUCUAAAACUCUCUUUUCAUGGUCCAUAAGAGAUUAAUACUGUACAAGCUCUUCAACUUUUUCUAUAUCGACAAAAUCACAUUGGAUACUUGAAACGACAAGGAUAAGUUUGAUCAAAUAACCCUGAUGAGAAUCGGGUUUAUGAGAGUCCGACCCAUUGAGUGGUGUCGACAUUUGUGAUCAACUAAAUUUUUCAUUUUUAUUUUAGAAAAUGUAAGAUACUAUAUUUGUUGCAUUUUAAACUUUAGAACUAUUAUCCAAGGACAUGAAAAUAUUUAAUGUUUUCUAUAACCGCGAUAUUUGCCUCUAAAUCCUAGUUAUCGUAGAUAUGAAGUCAGCUUCUAAUCUAUUUUCGUUGGGAAUGCCUCUUCUUCCAAAACAAAUUGAACUAGGGGCACAAUGGAACCAACUCCAAAUGGUCGCCAUUAACCUUAUUUUGGAUUGAUAAUCAAGAUAACUCAAAUAUCACCCCGGACGGAAACUCAUAUUCGCUAAACAACAGUAACCUCGAACUCCCGGUCUCCUUUUUUAUUCUCUCAUACUUAGGGUUUAGGUUCACAUAAGCUCUACUUUUUGAAAACUUAAUGUAUGGUCGGAAUUGUUUCUUAUAUAUUUGUGAUUGUCAUAUCUUUUGAUCUAACCAAUCCUUUUAGGUUUGUAAGCAUUAUUUCAGCGGGUCAAGAAUAUAGCUAGGGUCUAGGGAUAAUAUGUUAAACACACAUCGCAAUAUUUACCGUUCUCUUUAAUGUGUAAUCGUGUAAACGGUGUUCCAACAUCCAAAAAACCGACGAAAAAGAAAUCCUGUUGAAGUUACUUAGACGCAGAGCCGUCCAUGCGGCUAAGCGAGGAAUCCUUCUGCUUAAGACCUUCUUUUGAUUAUAUAUAAAAUCAGCCGCCCUUUUUACAGAAUUGUUUAAGUAGUCUAGUGGUAAAAGGCAUGUUACAUCAAGGGUAGGUGUACAAAUCGAGUCUCCUACCUCUAGCUUAGACGAAUCAGAUCCGAGCAUGUAAGGUUCUCGAGCUUUAUAUUCCUUAAACAGAAGUCCAGAACAAACAAAUCACAUAUGAAAUGUAGUAUUUAUUGAAAAUAUACUUAUACAUAAGAGAAGCUUACAUGAUUUGCAUAAUAUUUUUAUUCAAACAUCUUCAAAGUUUGGAGUAUGGUCUGAUCACUGAACUCGAACUGGAACAAGCUUUAGAGGUAUUUUCUUAACGACUGUAAGAGUACCAGCUUCUUCAGUAUCGAUAUCUUUAUGUGUCAUCCCAUCAGGCAACUUCCAAUCGAAGAAGUAAAGUAAGUUCAAGAGUCCCAAUUCCAGAGUAGCCAUCCCCAUCUCCAUCCCGGGACAUAUCCUUCGUCCAGACCCAAACGGUAAAAGCUCGAAAUGUUGCCCUCUAAAAUCCACGGGGCUAUCGAUAAACCUCUCGGGGUUAAACUCUUCCGGGUUUUUCCAGAGUUUCGGAUCUCUUCCUAUCGCCCAAACAUUGACCAAGAUCCGCCUCUUGGGAGGAAUAUCAUAGCCUUGAACCUUGACGUGAGCCAUUGUUUCCCUUGGUAGCAGAAGAGGAGCUACUGGGUAUAAUCUGAAUGAUUCCUUGAUCACCAAGUUCAAGAAAGGAACUUUAUCAAGAUCUUCUUUGGUGAUUCUCUCCUUAUUGUUGCCAAAGUGGUCUCGGAUUUCGCAUUGAACUUUCUUCAUUACUUCCGGAUUUCUAGCGAGCUCCGUCAUUGUCCAUAUCAUGGUAAGAGCUCCUGUGUCUAUCCCUGCGAUUAUUAUAUUCUACCAAACACCCAGAAACUAUUAGGUUAAGCUUUUUUUGUAUUAUUCUUUAAUGAAAUUCAAAUGCAUAUACAAAAAAAUGUAUUGAAACAAGUUUUGUUUUAUUACCGUGAGAAGCGCCUUAAUAUGAUCUAUUGUGAGCCUCAAAGAAUCAUCUUUGCCUUGUUUAUGCAUCAUAUCCAACAUUACAUCGACGAUAUCUUUGUGAUCUUUCGAUCUUCCAGGAUCUGAAUGAUCAUCGAUCACAUGCUGAAGCAGAGCAUCGAGCUUUAGGAAAGCAUCAUUGAGCCUCUUGUGUUGCCCGGAAAUCCAGUCAACAAGCCAUCCAAGUCCGGCGAUAGGGAAGAAAUCAGAGUAAGUGAAACUAGCCUGAGCUGUCUCUAUUUCAAAUACAAGUUCAUCGAUCUUGUCUUUAUUGAUAAACUCAAUCUCGUGGAAACUCUGUCCAAAAGAAACUCUAAACAGGAUCCUCGCAGCUAGCUCGAAAAGGGUUUUGCUCAAAUCGACCGGAGACUGAUCCACUGCCGAUUCUGACAAUUUCUUGACCAGAAAGUUACAUUCUUCUUCUUUGAUAUAUCCAAAAGACUCAACCUUUUUAGAACAGAAAAGCUCACGCACCAAGAACUUACGUCGCUCCUUCCACUCUUUACCGUAUGGAGUAAAAUUGAUAUCUUUAAAACCCCGAGAGAUUAGCCUCGACCCGAGAAGGUUAGGCCUGCUGCAACAGUCUAGGUCAUGAGUUCUAAGCACUUCUUCAGCUGCUUCUUUCGAUGAGAUCACAGUUACAGGGACAAACCCUAAGUGAAGAAGCAUCACAUGUCCGGUUCUUGCGGCGAGACGUUGAAGUGAUCUGUGAGGCAAUUCUCCAAGUUGAUGUAAGUUUCCUAUGACCGGAAACUUAGGAGGGCUUGGUGGAAGAUUCCAUUUGCAGCGUUUGGUCUUCUUGCCGAAAAAAAUUAACGAAACUAAAGUGAUGAGAAAAACACAGAGCAAAGAGAUACCCAUUUUGUUCUUCUUUUGGUUAUUGAGACAAAAUGGGAUUAUUAGCAUUGCUCUGUUUCAGUAUGUUAAUAGUUGUUUUUUUUCUUCAUUUUCUUAUAGUAUGGUAAUAGUUUAAAGCGGCAAUACAAAUUGAUGUAAUUAUUUAUUUAUUUUAUAUUUUAGAUGGAUCCAAUGAUCAUUGAAGAAAAAGGAUAUAAGGAUAGAUAGUCAAAAACUGCUUCACACUCAUUCUAAAAUUUUAUAAUAAUAAUUAAAAAAAAAACAUUUUAUUUGGAUUAAUAUGAGCUUUUUUCAAUCUCAUUCUAAAUAGUUUUAUGAAGAUGAGUUCUUUUAAUGGGAACAAUAUAUGCAAUUUUACAAAAGUGUACUGAAUUUUGCCUACGGAUAACUAUGUUAAAACAAUUUUACCAUUUCCCCAUUCGAGAAAAAUUAUGUAAGUGAUCAAUAUUAUGUCUAGAAGAUAUAAAUGAAAUUUUUUGCUUGAGGACCAAAUUUAAUACUGAUUUUUUUUUUUAGUUUUUGAUAUUCAUUGGAAAUUGGAAAAAAAAAGAAGAAACUUCACAACUAUCUGCUCGGUAGAUUUUGGAUCUUCCGGAUGGGUUGCUCAGUUUGUACGAAACAGUUGGAGUCUUCGACCACCACAAUUAAAUCGUGUAUUUAUGGUUUUAAGAUAAAAAGAUUUAUAGUUGAUGCUUUGUGUGGUUGUAGUAGUACAGUCUCUUUGCUAGUUUUUCUUCCACACAUAUUUUAAGAGGAAAAUAGAAGGCAAAUAUGCUUCUUAAAUUCCCCUCUAUGAGAUCCACACAAGUACUGAGCUAUUUCGAUAUUGAGCUAUUUGGCAGCAAGUGGUGAUAUCUGAUCACUUGGUUUCAAGGAUAUUUUUUGGGAGGGAGGUUGAGUACUUGUUUUCAGGUUUAGCUUAGAGGAAAUUGUACCUUUUGGAAAGACACGGAGUACGGUCAAAACUGCUAGUUAUUAUGAACUAGUUUUUGUUGUAUUUUUGGACCUAAUCGAUAUUUGAGGCUUAUAAACAUUCUUUUAGCGGAUCGGAAAAAUAGUUUAACAAUACUGUGUUACAUACACGACUCAAAAGUUAACAGUUGUUUUGAAUGUGUAGACGGUGUUUUGACGAUCUUAAAAGACCGAUGAAAAAUAAAUCUUACCAACAUUUCUUAGACGAAUCAGAUCCGAACCCAUAAGAAUUUCCAACCCAAAAGAGGUGGACAUAAGUACGUGGGUUAAAGCACAUAAUCAACUUUUUUGUGCAAAAGCACAUAAUCAACUAAAAAGGUGUUGUGAACUGUGUCUUUCAUUAAUAGGAUAGGGGAUAUAUAUACAAGGAUAAUAGCAGGAUACAGAGAAUAAGGUAAAACCCUAAUGGGCCAUGGACCGGUUAUGGAGUCCAUCUAUAUGGUUUAUAACACUCCCCCUUGGAAGACAUAACUGUGCCCGAUACUAAACCGGGAUCUCUAUAAUGCGCUGGGGAAUGUUGCCUCAUUAAAACCUUACCAGGAAAACCCAGUGGGACAAAACCAUGGUGAAGGAAAAAGAGUACAACACACAUUACUCCCCCUGAUUUGAGCAUCACUGUAAAUCCUUAAGUCCGCGCAUCCCGAUCUGAUGAAUGAGCUUCCGGAACGUUGAAGUCGGCAAUGAUUUGGUGAAUAGGUCGGCUGAAUUCUCACUUGACCGGAUCUGUUGAACUUUGACCUGACCGUCCUUCUGUAAUUCAUGAGUGAAUAAGAGCUUUGGCAAAAUGUGCUUCGUCCGGUCUCUCUUAGUGUAGCCGUCCUUGAGUUGAGCAAUACAGGCUGCGUUGUCUUCAAAUAUGAUGGUCUUUGAUGUAGUAGUAGCUGCGCCUUAAGGAAGGCUGCCUACGUACCCUUGGAAGGGAUCAAGCCACACGUAGUUCCUAUUCAUUGACCAUGCCAUAAUCUGAUCUUAUGAAUAACCUACAUCAGCAAAUCAAACUAAACCAAAGCAAACUGGACCUUCUUUGGUUAGAUCAGUAUAGAAUAAAUCCAAGUAAACAACGCAGGAAGAAUAAAUUUUAAAAUUUAACCAAACCUUCCUUUAAACUUUUCCAGUGCCUUUGGGUUGAUCAUGAACUAAAUUUAGACAGGAGACUCACGGCAAAACAAAUGUUUGGUCUAGUGUGUCUAGCCAAAUUCAUUAGAACUCCUAUGGCACUGAGGUAUGGCAUUUCCGGACUGAAUGGAUCACUAUCCAAUUUGAGGCUUCUCACCACCAUUGGGCCUGGUCAAUGGGCGGGCCUGGUCCUUAUUAAAUUUCCUUGAGUACUCUUUCAGUGUAUGCCAUUUGAUGCACAAGGAUUCCAUUAUUCACGUACUCAGGUUGUAAUCCCAAACAGAACUUAAUUAUUGCCUAGGUCUUUCAUUUGAGAUUCUUUCUUUAGAUAUACUCAACUGUUUGGGCGAUUAUCCAGAGGUUUAAAUCAUUCAUAUACACUGCUAUGAUUACAAAUCCUUUGUUUGCAAACUUUUUGAUAAAAAUACAUGGACUGAUCGGAUCGUUUUUAUAGCCUUCUCUGAUGAGAUAUUCGCUUAACCGGUUAUACCACAUACGUCCGCUUUGUUUCAGUCCAUAUAAGGAUUUGUCCAGCCUUAUGCAGUGCUGUUCUCGAAAAUCUUUCUUAUCUUUGAGCUCAAUACCCUCUGGUAAUCUCAUAUAUUAUCCAGUGGACUUAUAUAAAUAUGCAGGCAUUACAUCCAUUAGCCGCAAAUCUUUCUCUUUUAUAUAGCCAGACUUAGCAAAAAUUUAAAUGUCUUAGCAUCCACCACAGGGGAGUAUAUCUCCUCUAUAUCUGGUCUUUGUGUGAAUCCUUGUGCGACAAGCCGUGUCUGAUAUAUCACGCUUUCACUAUGUUUAUUUCACAUAAUCACAAAGACUCAUUUGUCCUACUGGCUUUACAUUGAAUGGUGUCCUUCAUAUUGAACCAAACACAUUCUUCUUCUUAAUGAUUCUUAGCUCCACGUUUUAUGGUCUUGUGCCAUUUUAAUCAAUCAGGUCUUUGAGUGCACUCUAGUAUAGACGUGGGCUCCUGAUCCUCAUUCAUUUCAGUUGCUACCUUGUGCGCAAAUAUAUUAUCAUUUAUGUCGACAUUUUUUCGGUUCCAUUGUAUUCUAGACAUGAUAUAGUUUAUAGAGAUCUCUUUACACCUUCAGGACCUUGAGGUUUGGCGUCCCAAACCUCAUUGAUUGGUACCUUAGGGUUAUGUCUAUUAGCUGGCCAUGUCUAUGGUUUCUUGAACCUUCUCGGUUUCCCUUGCACCUUUCUUUGAUUUCCGAAGGUUCUUGUCUUUGGAACCUUUUGGGUCUACCACGUUUCUUACGUGUUGUAGCCUCUGUAGCAACUUGAUUGUGUUCCUUGUGAACAUCAAUACGUACUGGUGCAUUACAAGCUGGUAUGUACGAUUUUGUUACUCUCUUUGGGUCAUUAUAGGAAUCUUGGCAACUAUUUUAGCUAGCUUUUGCAGAUAUAUAGUCUUUUGGAUCUCUGAUGGAGUCCGAGGAUCUUGCCAUGUGAAGGAUGUUUGAUUCCAUAUAAGUUCUUUGACCAGCUUGUUAGUCUCUCCACCCAGUGUUGGGAAAACGGAUUCAUUGAGAUGACAAUCCUUGUAUCUGGCCUUUGGCUCGAGAUACUUAAUGAUGGUGGGAGAAUCAUUUUUAACGUAUAUUCCCAUCCCCUUUUGAGGUCCCAUCAUUUGCUCUCUGUGGUGGUGCUAUGGGUAAAUAGGUGACACACCCAAAUGUCUUUAGAUGGGAAACGUCUGGCUCAUGAUCCGUUAGCAAUUGGGAUGGGGAAUAUCUAUGCUCACUAGAUGGCCGAAUGCGUAUUAGUUCAACAGCGUGUAAAACUACAGCCAGAAUUGAUAAUAGAUAAUCUGUGCAAAAUUCGUGCAGAAAUACAGACAAAAUUGAUAACAUAUAAUCCGUGCAAAAUUCGUGCAAAACUACAGACAGAAUAGAUAACAGAUCAUCUGUGCAAAGUUCGUGCAGAAAUACAGACAGGAUUGAUAACAGAUAAUCCGUGCAAAAUUCGUGCAGAAACAAAUAUGAACAGAAAACUUAUCUCGAUAGAGUUUAAAAUUUUGUUUGCAGAGACAGCUAGGGUUUUGGUUUUGGUUUUUGUGAGAGAGAUUUAGGGUUUCAGGAUUUUUUUUUUAAUUUUUAGGGUAAGAGGCUAUCGUGCUGAUAACGUGUUGUGAACUGUGUCUUUCAUUAAUAGGAUAGGGGAUAUAUAUACAAGGAUAAUAGCAGGAUACAGAGAAUAAGGUAAAACCCUAAUGGGCCAUGGACCGGUUAUGGAGUCCAUCUAUAUGGUUUAUAACAAAAGGCUCAUUUUUGAAGAAAAACCAUAAAACAGGGACCAAAACUAAUUUUAUAAGAAAACAUUUCAUCCUUUGUAGUUUAAAUUAGGAUCCAACAAAAUAAUGUUUCAAAUAAUAUAGUAAGUCACAAAGCAAAAAAAAAAUGCACUAAUGCCUUUAAAAUUGUUAGGCCGAGGCUGUCCAAGCCAACAAAUCGCAUCAAAAUUUUAACAAAAAGUCUUACAGAAAAUUAUUCGUCAUACAUUAUUUAGUUAUCAGAUAAGCUUACAGGAUUUGCAUAAUAUUUUUAUUCAAACAUCUUCAAAGUUUGGAGUUGGUCUGAUCACUGAACUCGAACUGGAACAAGCUUUAGAGGAACUUUCUUGACGAUUGUAAGAGUACCAGCUUCUUCAGUAUCGAUAUCUUUAUGUGUCAUCCCAUCAGGCAACUUCCAAUCGAAGAAGUAAAGUAAGUUCAAGAGUCCCAAUUCCACAGUAGCCAUCCCCAUCGCCAUCCCGGGACAUACCCUUCGACCAGAGCCGAACGGUAAUAGCUCAAAAUGUUGUCCACUGUAAUCCAAAGGGCUAUUGAUAAACCUCUCGGGGUUAAACUCUUCCGGGUUUGUCCAAACUUUAGGAUCUCUUCCUAUCGCCCAAGCGUUGACCAAGAUCCGUGUCUUCGGAGGAAUAUUAUAGCCUUGAACCUUGAUGUGAGCCAUUGUUUCCCUUGGGAGAAGAAGAGGAACUGGAUGGUGUAAUCUGAAUGUUUCCUUGAUCACUAGGUUCAAGUAAGGAACUUUAUUGAUAUCUUCUUCGGUGAUUCUCUCCUUAUUUCUGCCAAGGCGGUCUCGAAUCUCGCCUUGAACUUUCUUCAUCACUUCCGGGUUUCUAGUGAGCUCCGUCAUUGCCCAUAUCAUGGUAAGAGCUCCUGUGUCUAUCCCUCCGAGAAAUAGAUUCUAGCAAACACGCGGAAACUAAGUUAAAUAUCCAGAUUCUGUUUCUAUGCAAAUGUGUUGGGCCUAGAAAGCCUUAAGGAUAACCUGAGUUAUCAAAAAAAAAAAAAAAAAAAUGUGUUGAAACAAGUUUUGCUAUUAUUUACCGUUAGAAUUCCCUUGAUGUUAUUGAUUGUGAGCUUCAAGGAAAUAUCUUUGCCUUGUUUAUGCAUCACAUCCAACAUUAUAUCGACAAUAUCUCUGUGAUCUUCAGAUCUUCUGCCCGGAUGUAAAUGAUCAUCGAUCACACCUUGAAACAGAGCAUCCAGCUUGAAGAAAACAUCUUUGAGCCUCUUGUGUUGCCCGGAAAUACAGUCAACGAUCCAUCCAAGUCCGGCAAUGGGGAAGAAAUCAGAGCAAGUGAAACUAGCCUGAGCUGUCUCGGCUUCAAACACAAGCUCAUCGACCUUGUCUUUAUCGAUAAACUUACUCUCGUGGAAACUCUGUCCAGAAGCAACUCUAAACAGGAUACUGGCGGUUAGCCAGAAAAGGGUUUUGCUCAUAUCGACUGGAGUUCGAUCCACUGCUGAUUCCGACAGUUUCUUGACAAGAAAGUUACAUUCUUCCUCUCUGAUAUACCCGAAAGACUGAACCUUCUUCAAACAGAAAAACUCACGCACCAAGAACUUGCGCCGCUCCUUCCACUCUUCACCGUAUGGGGUAAAACCGACAUCUUUAAAACCCCGAGAAAUUAGCCUCGUCCCAACAAGCUUAGGCCUGCUGCAACAGUCUAGGUCAUGAGUUCUAAGCACUUCUUCAGCUGCUUCUUUCGAUGAGAUAACAGUUACAGGGACAAACCCUAAGUGAAGAAGCAUAACAUGUCCGGUUCUUUCGGCUAGACGUUGAAGUGACCUGUGAGGCAAUUCUCCAAGUUGAUGUAAGUUUCCGAUGACUGGAAACUUUGGAGGGCUUGGAGGAAGAUUCCAUUUAGAGCGUUUGAUCUUCUUACCAAGAAGGAUUAACGACGCAAAGGCGAUGAGAAGAAGACAGAACAAAGAGAUUGCCAUAUAUAUAUAUAUAUUUUUUUUGAAAUGGAUAAAUGCUCGCUCUGUUUCGGUAUACUCAAACCGCUUACAUUUUAAUCAUGAUGAAAAAGUCUACUAGUUAAAUAAUUUUUUUUUAUAGUGAUACAUAUUUGAUAAAUUUGAGAUUUUACGGAUGAUUGCUCAAAUAUUGUGGAGUUGAAGGUUCCACAUCUAGAAAUAAAUUUUGAUAUGUGCAAAUAUGAAUGAUCAAGAACGUCUGCGAUACUUAUGCCUAAAAACAUCCUAGAAUGAUAGACAUAAAAAAAGAUAUUUAAAACCAGUAAAAACACAACACCUAUAAAAAAUUUAAAACUCUGACAUAAAUUCGAUGAUACGUUGUUAAAACACUUUAUUUUUAACAAAAAUCGUUUAGGUUUACUGGUGCACCUAAUUAAAAUCGUGUUAAUUUUUUUUUUUUUUGUGGUUGUUAGAUGGAAGAUUUUAGUUUGUGUAGUUUAUCUUUGCUAGUUUUUGUUCCACAUAUAUUUUUAAGGCGAAAAUAUAUAGAAGGCAAAUGCUUCUAAAACUCCUCUUCAACAUUUCUCAAUAUUGACAAAAUACAUUGGAUACGGAGAGCCCGAUCCAUUGAGUGGUCUCCACAUUUCUUGUCAAAUAAGGUGUUUAAUAUUAUAAGAGAAAUUGUUAAAAAUGUCCAUUUUUCAAUAUCCCUUUUCAAAAAUGCCCCCUUUGAGAGUCCAUUUUUAAGUUUGCCCUCUUUUAAUUUUUAAUGACCAUUUUACUCUUAUUUGAAACAAAAUUAGGUCCACAAAAUACAAAAUAUUUUUUGGCGGGAAAAGUGAUCCCGCAAUUUUCCCGCCAAAACAAUUGUAAAAACCUUUAAAAAACCUUGUAAAAUUUUCCCGUAUAAAUUUUUCCCGCCAAAAAAUUUUCCCGCCAAAAAUUUUUUUUUGCGGGAAAAGUGAUUCCGCAAUUUUUUUGCGAAAUUUUUUGGCGGGAAAAAUUUACAAGGUAUUUUAAAGGUUUUACAGAGUAUUUACAAGUGUUUUGUAAGGUUUUACAAUGUAUUUUAAAAGGUUUUACAAAGUACUUAUAAGGUUUUAUAAGGUAUUUAUAACUUGUAAAAGCUUAUAAAAAACUUGUAAAACCUUAUAACUUGUAAAAACCUUAUAAAAUAGCUUUCAAAAUCUUAUAAUAUCUUAUAAAUGGACAGCCAAAGGGGGCAUUUUUGAAAAAGGGUAUUAAAAAAUGGGCAUUUUUGUGAGUCUCCCUUAUUAUAAUUCUUUUUUAUCGAAAUAAAAAGAAGAAAACUAUUAAAUGUUUGGUAGUAAACAAAGAGAUGAUCCUUAAGAGCGCCAGAAGGAGCUUUUCACCGUUCCAUGCGGAAGUCGACUCCCUGUUAUAGGCGAUGGAAUACAUGAUCUCGAUUGGUGACUUCUCUGGUGCCUUCGCCUCCGAUUGCUCUGAUUUGGUCUUCCUCAUUGAUAACCAAGAUGAGUGGCUUAUUUUUGCAGCAGAGAUGGCCUCGUUUCGAUUUCUAAUUUGUUUUUCCCCUCUUUUAGCAUUAGAUAUAUUCCUCGUAAGUUUAAUUGUCGGGCUGAUUGUUUAGCCAAAAAAGCUCAGGCUCGUAAUAGCCUUUUCUCCCAUGUAAGCACAUCGGUUCAUGAUUGGCUUUUCCUAACGGAAAAUCUCUUUCCGAUAACUUAAUAUAAAUGACGUUUGAUGAAAAAUAAAAAACAAAGAGAUGAUCUAAAUUUUUUUCGACUGAUGAUUAAGAUAAACCCAAAAAUUCUUACUAUUCACGUUAAAAAAUAAUUCACGCGUUGCUUGGAUUUAGUAUAAUAUAUUAUUUUUCUUAUAAAGAUCAAAUAUUUAUAAUCAUAACAGUGGAAAAUAAAUCUAAAUAUUGAAAAUUUGACUAAUAUCUAUGUUUUAUUUCAUUUGAAAAUGUAUAAUUGAUAUUUUAUAUUAAAAAAAUACUUGGAUUGAACCCUUAUAGUCACCCUCUUUAUUUCAGCCAAUCAGAAUCUGCCACCUAAUAAUAAUAAAAAAAUUCAUUUAAUUAGAAAAUCUAAUUUGCCACUAAAACAAAAUUAUGUAUCGGUUUGAGUUUAUUAGAAAGGGUUAGAGUUUAGAUUUUAUGAUUAAACGAGGUUAAAUAUCGGUUUGGGUUUAGAAAGUACGACUGGAGUUUAGAUUUUAUGAUUAAAUUAAACGAGGUUAAAUAUCGGUUUGGGUUUAUAAACGGAUUAAAAUUUUACAAUUAAACGAGGUUAAAUAUCGGUUUGGGUUUAGAAAGUACGAUUAGGGUUUAGAUUUUAUGAUUAAAUGAGGUUAAAUAUCUGUUUGGGUUUAUAAAUGAAUUUAGAUUUCACAAUUAAACGAGGUUAAAUGUCUGUUUGGGUUUAGAAAGUACGAUUAUGAUUUAGAUUUCUUACGAUUAAACGAGUCUAAAAGGCGGUUUGGGUUUACAAAGGAGAAUUAGGGUUUAGAUUUUAUAAUUAAGAUUAUAUCGGUUUUGGUUUAUAAAAGAGUGGUUAGGGAUUAGAUUUAAUAAUUAAAUGAAUUUAGUUUUUUUUUUAUGUGGUGAAUUCUGAUUGGUUAAAAUAAAAGGGGGUGAAUAACCCCUAGGAAUGAACCCAAGUAUUGCUUUUUUAUAUUUGCACAAUCUAAUAUUUAAAUGCACUUAAAAAUAGCUAUGAAAAAUAUAUUUUUGUUUUUCAAAACGAAUACAUAUCCAACACUUAAAUAAUGUUACCACAUCUUCAUCUAUAAUACUAUCAUUGUGUUUUCAGACCACUCUUUAGCCUACCGCUUUUUUUUUUAUUUCAAACGACUAUUUGGCUUACUGUUUUCUGUUAUUUUGAGAUGUUAAUCUUGUGAUGCAACCUUAAACAUCGUCUUGUUAGAUAAAAACAUAAUAUAUAUAUUAAAUAUGUUGUUUCCACCAAUUGGUUGGGUUAAAAACAUUUGAUUUAAAUGAUAAAUUCUCAAACGUAUGUUUCUAUUUGAUUAUGUUAUAUAGUUGUAGUUCCAUUUAAGAUAUAUGUAACAUAAUUUUACAUAUCACUAUUUUUUGUUUACAACUUACAUAUGUUUAUGUAUAUUUUGUUAUACAACUCAUGAAUAAUAUAAUCAUUGUUAUUUUUAAUUUUUUAAAAGAAAGAUUAUAAUGUUUUUGAAGUUUUAAGAUUUGUUUCUAAUUUUCUAUAGGUUUACAAAAAACUGUAGCUCUUUCAAUGUCUUUGACUUCAAUUAAAAUUCUUAAGUUGGGUUUAAUUAGUAAAUUUUCUUAAGUGUACACUUAAUAAUAAAGAAAAACUCUUAAUAGUAUAUUGCUCUUACAAAUUAAUGUUUCACUUUAAAUUUUAUUUUUUCUUUACUGUUUUACAAACACAGUUACAUAAAUCUUUUUCUACACAACCAUGCAUUUAAAUUUCACUUUCAUACUAAAACUCAUUAGCACAUUCAAAAAUUAGAAGUAUGAUCAUUUUUAAUUUUUUUUUAAUGUUUUUGAAUGUCUGGAUAUAUUAAUUUUCUUUUAACAUAAUAUUUCAUAGUAUUAUUUUGACUAUUUUACAAUUUCAUUUAUUUUAUUAAAUUUGUUUGUAUUUAAUUAAAAUUUCUGUUAAUUAUAAUUAACAUCAAUAUAAAUAAUAUAUGGAUUAAAAUGAACAUUAAAAUUAGACUUUAAUGUAAAAAUAAAAAAUAUUGACUAAUGACAUGAUUUUGUUUAAUUGGAUGUUUAACAUGAUGAUGUGAACAUCUUGAUAGGAGAGUUUUCUCUCUUAUUAUAUAAAAGUUGAAUUAUAUUAUGUUUACUAAUAAAAAAUUUAUAGUAAUACUUUUACGAUUAUAAAUUUUCAUUUAUUUUAUUUAUUUCGUUUUUAUUUAAUUAAAAUUUUUAUUAAUCAUAAUUAACAUUAAUAUAAAUAAAUAUGAAUUAAAUGAACAUUGUAAUUAGACAUUAAUAUAAAAAUAAAUAUUUUUGAUUAAUGACAUGGCUUUGUUCAAUUGAAUGAUUAACAUGAUGAUAUGGACAUCUUACUAGAAGAGAAAACUCUUCCAUUAUAUAUAUAGAUUCUAGGUUCACAAAACUAUUCUCUUGAAAGACUCGACGUAUGGUCGGAAUUGCUCCUUAAAAAGUUUGUGGUUGUUUUAAUUCAAAACAGAAAAAAAGUUUGCGGUUGUUGUAUCUUUCGAUCUAAAGUAUCUUAUUAAGGAUAUGAUUGAUAUCCUUGAUUGUCUAUGAUUGCGUAUGUCAAGGGUUCGUAUAUGUAAGGUUGUAUAUACUCUCAUUCAUUACACUUGUGUACCCUAGGUCUCCCUCUCCUGUAUAUAUAUUGUAGUUCUGAGAAUGUAAUAAGAUCAUCACUUCUACAAACAUCUAUAUGGUAUCAGAGCAGAACGCUCUUUAAAACCUAAAUUUUUUUUUUUUUUUUUUUUUCAGCCGUCAUCUUCUUCCUUUCUGUUCAAACACAAUGUCAAACACCAACAAUGAAGUCAAUCUAAUCGCUAUUGCUUCCAACUCUGUUCUGCAUGUUAACAUGUCCAACGUGACCAAACUCACUGGCACGAACUACAUGAUGUGGAACCAACAGGUCCAUGCGCUCCUUGAUGGCUAUGGCCUCGCCGGUCACCUUGACGGAUCCGUUGCUGUUCCGCCCGCCACAAUCACUGUCGCCAAUGAAGUCACUCAGAAUCCAGCCUUCAUCCGCUACCAUCGCCAAGAUAAGUUGAUUUACAGUGGUUUGAUUGGUGCUAUCUCUGUUACUGUGCAACCUGUUGUCUCUCGGGCCAUCACGGCUUCACAGAUCUGGGAAAAGCUGGCCGGCACGUACGCCAAACCAAGCCGUGGCCACAUCAAGCAGUUGAAAACGCAAAUCAAAAACUACAACAAAGGAUCAAAGACGAUUGAUGAAUAUAUGCAGGGACUCAUCACGAGGUUUGAUCAACUUGCUGUUCUUGGUAAACCAUUUGAUCAUGAAGAUCAAGUGGAGCUCAUUCUCGCUGGUCUUAGCGAUGACUACAAACCAGUUAUCGACCAAAUUGAGAGCAAAGACAACCCUCCCAGCCUCACCGAAGUCCAUGAAAGGCUGCUGAACCAAGAGGCGAAGCUACUUGCUACGACUGACAAGCUCUCCCUUGCCUUGCCUGCUUCUGCCAACGUCGCUCAGCAACGUCAUCAAUCCAACCACAACAAAGGCAACUACAACAGCAACAAUAAGAGACAGUACCAAGGUUCGUAUGGCUCAUCGUCAAGCCAGCAGCCUCAGCAACAAUUCAACAAUGCUCAAGAGAAUCGGCCUUUCAAGCCAUACUUGGGUAAAUGCCAAAUCUGCAACACUCAAGGUCAUAGUGCGCGCCGGUGUCCACAGUUUCAGUCUCGUGGAGCACCGCAGCAGAUGUCGUCUCCAUUCACUCCUUGGCAGCCCCGCGCAAAUCUUGCCGUCGCCUCUCCUUACGCUGCCAACAACUGGCUCCUCGACAGCGGUGCUACACACCACAUCACGUCGGACCUCAACAAUUUAGCUCUCCAUCAACCUUACACCGGUGGUGAUGAUGUGAUGAUUGCCGAUGGGUCUACUAUCCCGAUCACACAUACUGGUUCUACUUCUCUACUUACAAAAUCUCAUACAUUAGAUCUUAACAAAGUUCUAUAUGUCCCUAAUAUACACAAAAACUUAAUUUCUGCGUAUCGAUUAUGUAACGCUAAUCGUGUCUCUGUGGAAUUCUUUCCCGCAUCAUUUCAGGUGAAGGAUCUCAACACGGGGGUCCCAUUACUCCAAGGCAAAACUAAAGAUGAGUUGUAUGAGUGGCCCAUUGCAUCGUCUCAAGCGGUUUCGCUGUUUGCGUCUCCAUGCUCGAAAGCUACUCACUCGUCAUGGCACUCACGUUUGGGCCAUCCGUCCUCUGCAAUUUUAAAUUCAAUUAUUUCCAAUUUUUCACUUUCAGUUUUAAACCCUUCAAACAAACUAUCAUCUUGCUCCGAUUGUUUGAUCAAUAAAAGUCAUAAAGUACCUUUUUCUAAUUCCACUAUUUUCUCUACCCGACCACUUGAGUAUGUCUUCUCUGAUGUUUGGAGCUCACCUAUCAUUUCUCUUGACAAUUUCCGUUACUAUGUCAUUUUUGUUGACCACUACACCCGAUAUACUUGGCUCUACCCAUUAAAACAGAAAUCUCAAGUCAAAAACACUUUCAUAACCUUCAAAAAUCUUGUGGAAAACCGGUUUCAAACACGGAUUGGUACAUUCUACUCCGACAAUGGGGGAGAGUUCAUUGCGUUACGAGAAUACUUCUCUCAAAAUGGUAUCUCUCAUCUCACUUCACCGCCUCAUACACCGGAACACAAUGGCGUGUCCGAACGGAAGCAUCGCCACAUUGUUGAGACAGGCCUCACUCUCAUGUCUCAUGCCUCCAUACCAAAGACGUAUUGGCCAUAUGCCUUUGCAGUGGCUGUUUACCUUAUCAAUCGCCUACCAACGCCUCUACUUCAACUUCAAUCACCGUUCCAAAAGUUAUUUGGGAUGCCUCCGAAUUAUGACAAACUCAGAAUAUUUGGAUGUGCUUGUUAUCCCUGGCUCCGACCGUACAAUCAACACAAGUUAGAAGACAAGUCUCGCCAAUGUGUAUUUUUGGGUUACUCUCUUAGCCAAAGUGCGUAUCUCUGUCUUCAUAUCUCGACUGGCAGAAUAUACACGUCUCGACAUGUACAGUUUGAUGAGCAACAUUUUCCAUUCUCUGCUCUUCACUCUGGUGUGACGUCAGCCCGUGAAGAAAUUCAAGAAUCAUCACCGCAAUGGCCAUCUCAUACAACUCUCUCAGUCCCGAUUUCGGUUUUACCGGCACCCCCGUGUUCGAGUCCCCACCGUGAUAACUCCCCCGCUCCGCCGUCACCGCCAGUCCAGUCACGCAACUCUCAGGUAUUUUCUCCGACUCAAUCUUCUUCUCCCUCCUCCACGUCUUCUCCUUCUUCCCCUGAGCCCACUGCUCCAAGUCAAAAUGGGCCGCAACCCACGGCCCAGCAACACCAAACACAAACACAUACAAAUCCAACCCAACAAAUAAAUCAUCAAAUAAGCCCAGAACAAAACAGCCCAGAACAAAUAAGCCCAAAUCAAAACAGCCCACAUCAAACCAACUCAAAUCAAAAUAGCCCAAAUCAAACAAGCCCAAUAAACUCAACCCAAACACAAUCCACGUCUUCUACCCCUACCACUCACGACUCAACAAUCUCAUCUUCUCCAUCUCUGGUUUCACCAUCACCUGAACCCAUCGCUCCACCACCUUCAAAUAUCCAUCCGAUGGCUACCCGGGCAAAAGCCGGAAUCGUAAAACCUAACACAAAAUA